UCAAACUUUGGAUCUCAGAAUGAACAACUUCCAAGGUACCAUCCCACAGACAUAUGCAAAAGGCUGCAACUUGGCUUAUCUUGGGCUGAAUGGCAAUCACUUGGAGGGACCAUUACCACCAUCUUUGAUUAACUGUGUCGAUUUGCAAUUUCUUGAUGUUGGGAAUAACAGCUUGAGCGGCCCAAUUCCAGAACAUCUUAGAAGCUCAACACUUAAAGUCUUGGAUAUGAGAAUGAACAAGUUCAACGGCAUCCUCCCUCAAACAUUUGGAAAAAGUUGUGUUUUGGAAAGUCUUAAACUUAAUGGCAAUCGGUUGGAAGGACCAUUGCCUCCAUCUUUGGUUAAUUGUCAGUAUUUAGAAGUUUUAGAUGUUGGGAAUAAUCAGAUUGAUGACACCUUUCCCUAUUGGUUAGACGUUCUUCUUGAAUUGCAAGUUCUUAUAUUGCGUUCUAAUAGAUUUUGGGGUCCUAUUGGUGAUACCAAAACAAGAGUUCCCUUUCCCAAGUUGCGAAUAAUUGAUUGCUCUCACAAUCAACUCACCGGUGUUUUGCCACUACGGUAUUUGGAUAGUUUUAAAGCCAUGAGGCAUCGGAAUAACAAUAGUGUUGAAGUCGAUUAUAUGAGGUUGCAGGAUUCUUCUAAUUACUAUGAGUCAAUAUUUCUGACUAUGAAAGGCAUUGACUUACAAAUGGAGAGGAUUCUAACAACUUUUGCAACUAUUGAUUUGUCCAGCAAUAGAUUUCAAGGGAAAAUUCCAGAAGUAGUGGGAAAGCUGAAUUCACUCAAAAGUCUCAACAUUUCUCACAACAACCUGACAGGUGGUAUUCCUUCAUCGCUGAGAAAUCUGACAGAGCUUGAAUCUCUAGACCUCUCUUCAAACACGCUUACUGGACGUAUCCCAACGCAACUGGCGAGUCUGAAUUAUCUUUCGGUGUUGAAUCUUUCGAACAACCAGCUCAACGGACCCAUACCACUAGGACCCCAAUUUAAUACUUUUGGAAAUAAUUCCUAUUCUGGUAACUCAGGGUUGUGUGGAUUCCCAUUAUCAGAGAGCUGCAGCAUUGAUGAGGCGCCAGAACCAACAACACCAUCAAGAUUUCUCGAAGGAGAUUAUGCUUCUAGGUGGUUUGAUUGGAAGUUUGCUAAGUUGGGUUACGCAUCUGGAGUGGUGAUCGGCUUGUCCAUCGGAUACAUGGCAUUUGUGACUGGAAGGCCACAAUGGUUUGUAAGAAUGAUCGAAAGGAAGCAAUCCAAGAAGCCGAGAAGGGUGAUCAGACGAGGCAGAGCAAGUAGAAGAAGUUUGUAGGUGCAUCUCUAGAGGCCCAGGUGAGCAAUUAUUAGUUUGUCUUUUGGAAUUAUAAGCUGGUUUCCACUGUUCUUUGAAUAGAUGGCAUGCUGAUAUUAUCGUAAUCUAACAGUUGGCUUACAAAAAUCACAAUCUUACAAGUUCAGCAUAUAUAAUCCAUAAUUAUAUAGAUUACAAAUUCUAAUUUGUAGUAAAGUAAUUACGAAGUAAAUGGAAGGUCGUAAAAGUAUUAAGGUUGUAAAAAUCUUAGUUUCAAAUAAUAAUAAAAUCUAAUUGUUUUAUGUUUAUUAAAUGAUUAAAUGAUAUCAUGAUUUUAACAAAUAAAAUUAUAAAUAUCAUGACUUUAUAAAAUGACAAAUCUAAAGUUUUACAACUUCAAUAUUUUAUUUAUGAAAUCAUAAAUUAGUCAGAAGAAAUAAGCUUCAUUUGCAAACGAAAUAUUUUUCACCAUUUAUACACAAAAAAUUAAAAUAAAAUAAAAGUUGUAUUUUCAUUCAAUGGAGUUAAAGUGCAAGUAAAAUAUUAAUAGUUCAAAUAAAAAUACAUAUCAUAUGCAUCAUUACAAUUGACAGUACAUCUCAACUAGGUUGGCACCCACUAAACCAUCUAUCAUUUGCGAAAUUAGAUAAUAUAGUUGUGUUAAUAAAAUGUUAAUAAUUAUAUUUUAAUCUAAAACUUGUAAACAUUAAUGUUAUUACAAAUUAUCAUUUACAACUUUAUAUAAGUACAAAUUAGCAAUUAAAUGUUAACCCUUCAGAAAAAUUAUUUAUUAUUAUUGUUAAGAAGGGAAAUUAUCAUUGCACCACCGUUCUUUUGCCUUAUGUUCAUCCAACCACCAUAAAAUUCUAACAUGUUCUCAGCAACACCUUUCUUUUGAAAUUUGUAUUAAUUAGCUACUUUUGCACUAACAACGUUAAAUAAUUUAAACGAAAUAACAAUUUUACUCCUAAAUAAAUUAAAAGACCAUUUUAUCUUAAAAACUUGGAAAAUAAAAAAUUAUAAUUAUAAAAAUACCCCUAAAUUAAAAAAUAAAGCCAAAAUGGAGGUGCUCAGUUGAUUUUUAUUAAAUUUAGAUUUUACAAAAUUUUAAUCAUUAUUUUUAUUAAAAAUUUAUAAUUUUGCAAAAUUCAAUAAAAAAUAAAUGAAUUUAUUUAUUAAAAAGUUAUAAUUUUGCAAAAUUUUAUUAAAAUAACUGAAUUUUUUAUUAAAAAAUAAAUCCCAAAAUUUUAAUAAUUUAGGGGAUUUUUAUUAAAUCCCAAAAUUUUGUAAUUUUUUUAUAAUUAUAAUUUUUUAAAAUAAAUUUUAUUAAAAAUAAAUAUUCUUAAUUUUUGGAUUUAUUUCUUUAUUAAAUGUAUGGGUAUUUUUAUAAUUAUAAUUUUUUUAUUUUCAAAGCUUUUACAAGAUAAAAAGAUCUCUUAGUUUAUUUUGGGGUCAAAUUAUCAUUUUUUUUAAAUUAUUCAACGGUAUUAGUGCAAAAGUGAUUAAUUGAUACAAAUUUCAAAAGAAAUAUGGUGCAGAGAACAUGUUAGAAUUUUGUGAUGAUUGGAUUAACAUAAGGCAGAAGAAAGGUGGUGCAAUGAUAAUUUCCCUUAUUAAGAAUUAUCCUAUAUGUAUUAAAAAAAAAGAAAUGGGGAUUUUUUUUUUUAGCCCAAAAAAGGAAAAAAGAAAAAAGAAAAAGAGGUACAGGCGGUGCGGCCAAUUGGCCUUCUCUAUAUGUGAAAUGGGGAAUAACAAAUGGGGAGAUUGCCAAUUUCCCCCCUACAGUAAUCAACAUAUACCAUUUUCUCCUCUGCUGUUUUUAUAAUGGCCAAAAACCUCCCUGAUAGCAUAAGUUUACAAUAUUAUCUUUAUUUUCAACUACUCUUUUAUUUAUAUUUAUUAUAAAUUAAAUAAAUCACAUGAAUAGAAACUAAAUAAAAAAUUAAGCAUUAAAAAUAAGAAAUAUAUGUUUUGAUAUGAGAAGAAAAUUAAUAAUAAAAUUUUUUUCUUGUACUUAUUUAUUUUGUGAAAUUUUUCUUAUAAUAAAUAUAUAAGAAAGUUAUUAUAAAAUGAUAAAAAAUUAUUAUAAGAAAAUUUGAAUGACAAAUAAAAAUUUAUUAUAAGAUAAAUAAUAAAAUAUUUUGCCUAUACUUUUUACAUUUAAUUUUAAAAUAUUACAAAAUGUUUAUUAUAAGAAAAUGUUCACAAAAUAAAUAAUUACAAAAAAAAUUUCAUUAUUAAUUUUUUUGCUCAUAUCAAAACAUAUAUUUCUUGUUUUUAAUACUUAAUUUUUUUAUUUAGUUUCUAUUCAUGUAAUUUAUUUAAUUUAUAACAAAUGUAAAUAAAAGAGUAAUUAAAAAUAAGGAUAAUAUUGUAAACUUAUGUUGUCAGUGGGGUUUUUGGCCAUUAUAAAAACAGAAGGAGGGUAAAUGGUAUAUGUUAAUUAUUGUAAGGGGGAAAGUGGCAAUCCCCCUAACAAAUAAUCUUGACUCAAUUAAUUGUAACAAUAACGAUUUGGAACACGAUGUGGGCUUAAUUUGGGUGUGCAUCUUCAGUUCUGUAACCUGAAUUUGGGUGUGCAAAUUGUAAUAUUACCCUUUUAAACUCACAAUGAGAUAAUUGAAUGGGGUGUAAAAGAAAAUGGAUUUAAAUAAAUGAAAUAUGGUAUGUCCAAAAUCUCUGACCCUGUAUCAUCCUUGUUCAAAUGGCUCAGUAUGUAUGUGCCAUGUCAAAAUGUGAGAACUCAUCCACGUCACCAGCCUCAACACCCUCGCCACGUCAUCACUCAACCGGUGUUAUAACUGAUGAUAAUUUGGAUAAGAUAAACAGUUAAAUUGUGAGUCUUCACUCUUCAAAGAGAAACCAAAAUGGCGCGAGCUUUGCUUCAUUUGAAUAGCACAGCCACGGCCAUAAUGGCCAGUGCUACAAGUGCUACUAAAGAAACAGUUCUUGUCAGGCUCUCUUCAGGCUCUGCCCGGCCUUCAGAUUGUAGUUGGCUCUCGAAACAGGUGAAAUCAUUAAUACUCUUUUCUUUCUUCUAGUUGUUUCCCGAGAAAAUGCAAGAAAUAAAGGGAAAAUUUUUUCAAGCUUUGUUACUUAAUGUUAUUUUUAUGAUUACUAUGUUUCUUUGGUUCUUUUAAAAUUUAAAUUCAAGUAUUAGUCUGUCUUUAAGUAGACCGCAUGAUGGUAUUUUUCACUAUCUGAACUAGUAUUUGAACAGUAUAUUAAUUUGAUGUGUUUUUUGUUCAGGAAUUUUAUUACACUCAUGGAAUCGAAGCAGUGGAAGUCAUAUAAUCCUGCAGGUACAACAAUUUUCUUUGCUUUAUUUUCCAAUCCAUAUUAAUAUGCUAGGACUUAUUUUUUGUUGGCAAACUUGAUCAAAACUCUUGAGGAAAAAAAAUGAUUUGAAGAAAUAAUAAUGUUGAUGUAGGAAAUGGUGUGGGCAACUUUUAUUUGUUUGUCUUGGGCCAGUAUGUUGGAUUUGGAAAUAUUGGAAGGUUGCAACGAUACAAGAAUCAUUCACCGCCUGCAGACAGCUAUGAUCCAUAUAUGCGAUUUUUGCAAUGUUUAUUUUUCAUAAGAAAUUCAAAUGCUACUUCAGAUUUUUUUAAUAAAUCCCGAAUCCUUGUACAUCCAAAUUUCAUUGUUUCAUGAUUCAUCAUAAUCCAAUGAAGUCUUGAAUGCUUGUACCAAUUCAAAGGUUAGUUGUGGAUCAACAAAAAGAAAUAAAAUGUAUGUGGGCUGGACACAGGUCCUAUAUAUAUAUACCAGUUAAUUUUUUUGCCAAGAUAUCUCCACUGUUGGUUAUCUGCUUGAGUCUGAAGCAAUAACAGAAAAAAAAAAAUAAUAAUAAUAUGACUAGUUAUUAUUAAAUUAGUCGUUAAAAUAUUUAUUUAUUCUUAUUACGAUAAUUGAGGCAAUAAAUUGCAUAUUCUUGUUUAAUUUUGAGUUCUUCAUUGAUAACGUUCAAAUUUUUAUUUUUUAUUUGAUUUUUUUCUAAUUUUAGGGGGGAGAAAAGGUAAAGAAUGAGAGAUUAUUUAACAAAUUAAAUUUAGAGCACAAGCACAGAAGCAUUAAGCUCCUGCUAAACUGUUGUUCGACUUGCAAGUUUUUGGAUCAAAUAAUAAAGUUUGUGCCUUGAGAAGUUAGCUCAUGGCUGGAAUGUUAUUUCUAAUCUAGAGCUAGCGUCCUGAGAAAAUUUUGCAUCCUUGCAGGGAAAAAGGUGCUGCAAUUGUGUCUACAUUGUUGAAGUUUUCUGAAUUUUCUGAAGUUAAUUGGUAGACAUUAUUCUUUUACACUAAAUAUGCAAUUGAGUUCACAGCUAUCCAAAAAAUGGGGCAGUUUUUAUAUUUAAUUACAAAAUUAUCCUUAUUGAAACCCAUAUAAGAGUAUUUACAUUAAUUAGUUAUAUUGCUUCUUCAACUAUCAUCAAAUUCUUAUUCGAGUUCAUCAUUUAAGGAAUAAAUGUGUUAUCUAAAUAAUUACAAAUGAUGUACUAAGCAAAUAUUUUGAGAAAUAAGACUCAUUAUGGCUCCUUUCAUUAGUUGUAUCUUUAAUUUCUUAUUAAUGAAAUUCUCUCGCAUUGCCCAAAAAAAAUGUUGUUAGCGUCACCAUUGAAAGGGGCCAAAUUAUGUAUUGUCUGACUAGUGAAACUGUUAUCAUAUAUGCUAAUAUGCUGCUUCUGGAUCCAUUAUUCUGGCUUUUUAUCAUUUCCAUGGCAGUGAUGGGAGCAGCGCUUGUUCAUAUUGGUAGAAGUGAAAGCAAAUUAAGGAGAGACACAUAGACUAAGGUAAUAAUGUCCACUAAGUUUAAUAUGGUGAAGUCCUGGAUCAGUCGCUUUGCUGAAAUGAUUUCAAGUAAUCGCCCACAGUGAUUGGCAAUUUUCUCUUAUUUAAGUUUUGGUGAAAGUGAAGCUCAUCCACAGAAAAUAAUUGACAGGAAGUGUUAAGGAGAAAAGAUCAGCCUAAUUCAAUGGCUAGGGAUGUUACAAUCAUUUUUUUGUUACUAAAUAUUUUUAAAUUAGGAUAACGUAUUAAUGGAAAAAAAAAAAUUCAUAGUCUAACAAUUGAUUUACAAAAACCAGAAUCCUGAUUAAAUUCAGAUAAUAAUUAUAAUCAACGUCUAUAGGAAAAGGGAAAACGAGAAUCAUAUGUAAGAAAAAUUAUUUCAUGAUGGAGGAAACUUUACCUUAAUUAUCGAUGUGUUUCUCUUCAGGAAUUUUAAUCUCUUCGUACCGAAAUUUAUUUUUGCUUUAAUUUAUUUCUAUAGCUCAUAAGAACUUGCUAUCACAGAACAUAUGUUUUGAUGGUAAACUUGAUCAAAUUUUUAUGGGAAAAAAAAAUUGAAUUGAAAUAAUAUUAUAUUGUUGCAGGAAAAAAUAUGUGAGGGCAACUUUGAUUAGGUGUAUCUUGGGCCACGUACGUAUCAGGAAAAUUAUUUUGUUGCAGGAAAAUUAUUUUGUUGCAGGAAAAUAGAUUUUCCAAAAAUCUGUCCUUUGGCCGACCGAUCCUAUAUGAUCCUUGUUCAAAUUGGCCCCGUAUGUGGCACGUCAACACUUCAAAACUCGGCCACGUCAUCAACUUCGCAAAAUUCUCGCCACAUCAUCACUGAACUGGUUACGACGGAUGAUAACCUGUUGAAAAGUCAAAGAGUUUUGAGCCACAUGCAUUGCUUCUGUUUUUCAAAGUUGGCACCAAAUUGCAAGCUGUAAAAUAUUUGGCUUUUGACAAUCCUUCACCAAAUGAAGAAAAAUGAGAAAGGUUAGCAAAAUUUGUCAAAUUGACAGAUAGGAGAAUUGAAAAAUUGCAAAGCGGAUGGUGCAAUAGUGCAACGUUUUUUGCUACAAAUAAAGAUGCAUUCUUCAUUUGUAAAGCAUCCCAAAAAAUUUGUUAAGCUUAUAAGUUUCUAAACUUUUGAGAGUUCUGCGAGUGUGAGCAAUUGGAGAGUGUGUGUGAGAGUAUUGAGUGUAUUUGGGUUCUGGGAAAGUGAGAUUUCUUUACUCGAAUUUGUACUCAAAUAAUUGUUAAUAAUACAAGUAUUUUUCUCUUGCUCCCGUGGACGUAGGCAUAUUGCCGAACCACGUAAAUUCUUGUAUCCUUUAUUUUUUUGUGAUUAUUCAGUGCGCUUGUUUCCGCAUUCCAUGCACAACAAGUGGUAUCAGAGCUAAUGGUUCGUACUUGGGGGGAUACGGUACUGUUCACGUAUAUGAUACUAUUCACGAAUAUGGUACUGUUCACGAAUACGGUGGAGACGGCCAUUUGUACUUGGGAGACAGUCUAUUAUAAGUAGUGUGUAUUUUUGCAUGUCUAGGAAAGUUCUGUCAACAAAGGCGAUAAGAGUCUAAGGAUUCUGGUUUUUAAUUGGGACCGAGUUCCCGUCUAGUUUCCUGAAAACUUUCCUGGUGCAUUUAUUCACGCAAAAUUAACAUCAUAGAGACUGUUUUUUCAAGUGGAAAUAAUUCAUCGAGAAAAUGGUAGAAGGUGAAACUUCCAGAAUUGGGGAGAGAUCUACCUAGGCUAUUUCAGGAGACACUUCAGGUGGGAGGCGAGAUUUGUCAAAUCGCUAUUCAGCACCUGUUAUAGGAGGCCGGAAGAUCGAUGUUGAAAAGUUUUAUGGGAAAAUCAACUUCGGCAUGUGGAGGCGCGAAGUUAUGGAUGCCCUUAUUCAAAUCGAUCUCGAUGUUGUUCUGAAAAAUAAAAGACACUUGUAUGAUGAAGAAAUUUGGGAUCGUAUGAACGAGAAAGCUUAUGGUCAGAUCAGAUCUUGUUUGACCAAGGAGGCGAAAUACUUGGUGAAAGAUGAGGAGUGUGCUGUGACUUUGUGGCGUACAUUGGAGGAGAAGUACCUGCUGAAAAGUCCUGAAAAUCGUCUUCAUGCAAUGAGCCAAGUAUAUGGCUUUCGAAUGAAGCCUGGGGUGUCAAUGCACGAUCAUGUCUCAAGAUUUGAAAAGUUACUUGCUGAUUUGAAGAAUCUUGAUCAAGAUAUUAAGGAUGAAGUCAAAGUUAUGAUUCUGUUACACUCAUUACCAGAGGAAUAUAGCCAUUUUAUGACUACCUUGAUAUAUAGGAAGAGUGUGAUCGUCUUCAAAGAUGUUUACACAGCAUUGACUAACUUGGAGAUUCGGAAUAAUGAUAAAAAUUUCUGAAUGAGCAUCGUCUAAAGCUUUGGUGAGUAGAGAUUGGGCGAUGGAGAAAAAGAAAAAGCAUGGUGGAAAGAAUUCUCGAUCCAAAUCGAGAAGUAGAAAUCUAGCUCGAGAUGAGUGUGCCUUUUGUCAUGAAAAGGGUCAUUGGAGGAAAGAUUGUCCAAAGGCUCAAAAGAGAGAUGAGAAGAAACCAGCAGCAGCAAACAUGGAACGGAAAGAUGAAGACUCUGAUUAUUCACUAAGUAUUACUCCUGCAGCAUACGUGACUAGUUCGAGCGAGUGAAUACUUGAUACUGGAGCAACCUAUCAUUUGUGUCCUAUUAAGGGAUGGUUUACGGAUUUUCGUAAUUUGGAAUCCGGUGCAGUUGUGAUGGGGAAUGAUCAACCUUGUCGCACAAUUGGGAUAGGAACAAUUCGGCUCAAAAUGUUUGAUGGAAUGAUCAGAGAACUCAAAGAGGUUAGAUUUGUUCCAACUUUAAAGAAAAAUCUAAUUUCUCUGGGUGCUUUGGAGCUAAAGGCUACAAGAUUACCAUUGAAGAUGGCACAAUGAAGUUUACACAUGGGGCUAUGGUGAUUUUGCAAGAGGUUUGGCGUCACAAUCUGUACUAUUUGAAGGGAAGUACAACUGAUGAAGCAAAUAUUGUUGAGGCGCACAGUGACACCACCAAGCUAUGGCAUGUACGACUGGGACAUGCUGGUGAGAAGUCUUUGCAAACUCUGAUGAGGCGCGGACUCUUAAAAGGUACCAAAACCUGUGAGUUAAAUCUCUGUGAGCAUUGUGUAGUAGGCAAGAAAACAAGGGUCAAGUUUGGUACAGCCAAUCACGAUACUUGUUGUACAAAUUUUAAUGUACUCGCAAGCGCACGAAUCUAUUGUGGUAUAGAUCAAUGGUGACGAGUGUCGAUCCCACGAGGAGGUAGAUUUUAAUUGUGUAGAAUUAAUUUUGUAAAUGGGUGAUUGGAUUUGUGGUGGAAAUGAUUUGGAAUAUAUUAAAACUUAAAUUAAACUGGCGAGAAUAAAUUCUAAAAUUGGUAUUGAAAUAGCGAGAAUAAAUUGAAGAGAAUUCUAUUGAAAUGACGUACUUGGGUAUCUGGAUCCGUAUCAACAUGCAUCAUGGGCUAAAUAAUCCGUAUUAAUGCCAAUUAAAUCAUGAGGGGGGAAUCCACACCUCAUGAACCACGCUCUAAUCAAUAUGGUGCUAAGGGCUUAUCGUGCCAAAUAAUAAUAACCUUAUACUAGAGAGCCGGUGAAACCAAGGCGGUACUAGACAAGAUUAGUAUUAUUUGUCGACGAGAAGUCAAAACAUCCACAAAAACUAGAGGGGAGGAGAAAAUAAAUUUACCAAAUUAAGCCCAUGACACAUGUUGAGACUUCACCUUCAACCCAAGCUUGAAAGAAAAUUAGCCACUCAUAAUUGAACUAGGGGCAAAAUGGGAAUUUAUUAAAAUACAUAGAAAAUACAAGAUGGAGAGGGAAUUACAGAAAAUGGAUCCCAAAAAUGGAUUCAGAGAUAUCAAAUUAGGGGGGGAGGCCCCAUUUUUAUAGAUACAUGGAGUAAAUCAUGGCCAUCGGAUUAAAAACAGUUUGGACGCUCAGGAUUGCGCCACGUCAUCAGUCAACAGUCCACGGUUUGACCACGCGGAUGAACAGUAACACGGUUUGACCCGGAUGAACAGUAACGCGGUUUGGUUGAAAAUAAUCCUGUGUGAUGCAUGCACCGUACGCUAGAUUUUUCGUCCACUGAUAUGCUGCCACGUCACCAUCAACAGUACAUAAGAAUUUUAGUCCAACAGGAUCGUGACACCUCAUCAGUCAAUGCCACAUCAUCGGUCAAUGCCACGUCAUCGAUCCGUCUAUGUGAACAUUGUCGUGAACAGUAACGUAUACAGUACCGUACACGUGAAUAGUACCGUACAUGUGAACAGUAACAUAUACAGUACCGUAUAUGUGAAUAGUGCCGUACAUGUGAAUAGUGCAAUUUUUCCUUUUAUGCUCCUUCUAAGGUUUUCAACCGUCCUGAGUUCAAAAGUGAUGUCCGUUUUGCCGUCUGAUCUCUCUUUUAUUGUGAAAUGACUAUAAUGCCCCUAAAAUACAUAAAAUACUUAAUUAAAAUAACACACACGUAAUUAUAUCACAAGAAGGUUAAAUACAUAAAAGUAAGAGUUGUUAGUAAGACUUGAAUGCCAGAACGAGGGUAUUAAAAGACAUUUCACGGUGAGACAUACUCCGCAACAGAACGAUGUAGCUGAGCGUAUGAAUCGUACUUUACUGGAGAAGGUACGGUGUAUGUUAUCUAAUGCUGGUUUAGAUAAAAAAAUUUGGGCUGAAGAUGUGAGCUACGCAAGUCACUUGGUAAACCGGUUGCCUUCUGCUGCAAUUGGAGGUAAAACUCCUUUGGAAAUGUGGUCUAGAAAGCAUGCACAAGACUACGAUUCUCUUCGUAUAUUCGGGUGUCCAACUUAUUAUAAUGUCAAAGAUGGUAAACUGGAUCCUCGUGCUAGAAAAGCUACCUUUAUGGGAUUCAAAGGUAGAGUAAAGGGCUUCAAGCUUUGAGAUCUCGAAGAUAAAAAGUUUGUGUGUAGCAGAUAUGUCACAUUUGAUGAAGUUUCAAUGAUGAAAACUUUAAGUUCUCAGCAAGUGGAGAACAAGACCAAAGAGGUAUUACAGCGGGUGGAGUUUAAUGCAACUCCAUAUGUACUAGUUAGUUCUGCAUCAAAGAAUGGUUCAACUAUGGAGGUGACACCUAGAGUUGAAGAAGAGGUUGUUUCUUCUAAUGUCCCACAAAAUGAAGAAACAAUUGAUGAUGUAGAUAAUGAUGAUUUUAUAGCAACAAGGAGGCCAAGAAGAGAGAUAAAGAAACCUAGAUGGCUUACUAAAGAUAUGGCUGUAGCCUAUGCACUUCCAGUUAUUGAUGAUGACAUCUCCAACACUUUCGGUGAAACAUUAUGCAGCAGUGAAAGUGAUCAGUGGAAGUUAGCUGUGGAGGAAGAGAUGAAAUCUCUCCAUCAAAACCAGACUUGGGAACUUGUAAAGUUACCAAAGGGAAAAAGGGCUAUUGGCAAUAAAUGGGUCUACACCAAAAAGCAAGGAUCUUCGAAUCAAUCAACUCCUCGAUACAAGGCAAGGUUCGUGGCGAAAGGUUUUCCUUAAAAGGAAGGUAUUGACUACAAUGAAGUUUUCUCUCCAGUUGUAAAACAUACUUCCAUUCGUAUCCUACUUGCCUUAGUUGCAGAAUAUGAGUUAGAGUUGGCUCAGUUGGAUGUUAAGACUGCAUUCUUACAUGGAGAUUUGGAGGAGGAAAUCUAUAUGAUUCAGCCUUGUGGUUUUAAAGUUGCUGGCAAGGAGAAUCAUGUGUGUAGGUUGAUUAAAUCUUUGUACGGACUGAAGCAAUCGCCAAGGCAGUGGUACAAAAGAUUUGAUCAAUUUAUACAAGGGUAGAACUUCACCAGAAGUGAACACGAUCAUUGUGUUUACUUUAAAAAACUACCAUAUUAAGCUUUCAUCUAUUUGUUACUCUAUGUCGACGAUAUGUUUAUAGCUUCGACGAAUAGAGAUGAGAUCGAAAGAUUAAAGAAGCACCUGGCUUCUGAGUUCGAGAUGAAAGACUUGGAUAAUGCACAAAGAAUACUUGGGAUGAAGAUUCAUGGAGACAAUAAGAAUGGGAGCGUAUGGUUAACUCAAAAGUCUUAUUUUAAGAAAGUGCUGGAAGGAUUCGGUAUGGAUGACAAAACAAAACCGGUAUGUACACCUAUAGUUCCUCAUUUCAAAUUAAACUCUUCUUCAUGUCUUAGAUCUCGAGAGGAGCGCGAAUACAUGACUCGUGUUCUAUAUGCUAGUGCUGUGGGUAGUCUUAUGUAUGCUAUGGUAUGCACAAGACCCGAUAUAUCUCAAGCAGUGAGCAUGGUUAGUAGAUACAUGCACAAUUCGGGUAAAAAUCAAUGGCUUGCGGUAAAGUGGAUUCUCCGAUAUCUGUAUGGGACAGUUGAUGUUGGGUUAUUGUUCAAGAAGGAUUGUGGUCAACAAUGUGUUGGGUAUUGUGGUUCUGAUUUCGCUGGAGACCUUGACAAGUGAAGAUCAACAAUGGGCUACGUAUUCACAUUGAGUGGAGGUCCGGUUAGCUGGAGGUCGAUUUUACAAUCGACAAUUACUCUGUCCACUACGGAAGCAGAGUACAUGGCAACAACUGAAGCUGUAAAGGAAGCUAUCUGGUUGAAAGGCUUGUUAUGUGAUUUGGGAGUAAUCCAAGAGAACAUUGCGGUCUUUUGUGAUAAUCAAAGUGCGAUAUUCCUCGCGAAGAAUUAAACAUAUCAUGCUCAGACGAAGCACAUAGAUGUGAAAUAUCAUUAUGUGAGGGAGAUUAUCGAAGGUGGUGACGUGUUGUUGAAGAAGAUCAAUACAAAAGAUAAUCCAUCAGAUAUGUUGACGAAGGUAGUUUCUGGAGUUAAGUUCCAACAUUGCUUGAAACUAAUUCAAAUCCUUCAAUUGUGUUAAGUUAUGUCCUUCGGGAAUUUUAAAUUACGAUUAGCUUGAUCCCAAUUUUUGGGUACGUAGGCAGUCACAGAGAUGCAGCCACUUUGGGGAUGAUGGUUCAUUGAUAGUCGGCUAAGAUUUGACUAAAUCUUCACCGAGGUAGAGAAUUGUUGAAAAGUCAAAGAGUUUUGAGCCACCUGCAUUGCUUCUGUUUUUCAAAGUUGGCACUAAAUUGCAAGCUGUAAAAUAUUUGGCUUUUGACAAUCCUUCACCAAAUGAAGAAAAAUGAGAAAGGUUAGCAAAAUUUGUCAAAUUGAAAGAUAGGAGAAUUGACAAAUUGCAAAGCGGAUGGUGCAAUAGUGCAACGUUUUUUGCUAUAAACAGAGAUGCAUUCUUCAUUUGUAAAGCAUCCCAAAAAAUUUGUUAAGCUUAUAAGUUUCUAAGCUUUUAAGAGUUCUGUGAGUGUGAGCAAUUGGAGAGUGUGUGAAAGUACUGGGUGUAUUUGGGUUCUGGAAAAGUGAGAUUUCUUUACUCAAAUAACUGUUAAUAAUACAAUUAUUUUUCUGUGAUUAUUCAGUGCGCUUGUUUUCGCAUUCCGCGCAUAACACUACCUACUACUAGAAGAAGCUGUGUCCAAAACAAAUUAGAGUUCCAUUAUUAUUACAAAUUAUAAGUAAACUACACGUUUUAAAAUCGGUAGACAAUAAUAUUGCAGUUUCAAAUCGAGCAAUGCACGCGUAAUCCCUAUUACGACAGAAUAACACAAAAUUAACAAAAGGAAAGCACAUAAUUGACUACUUUGAAAGCUUUUAUUGCAUUUUCUCAUAAACCAAAACAGAAGAAAGAAAGUAUUAACAUUUUCACCUGAUUUCGAGAGCCAAAUGGUCGGAGCAAAGCAACGGAAAGAAAUUGCACCGUUUACGCCAUGAAUGAAAGUGACUUAAUUCUACAAAUAUGACACCAUACACAGUGAUUCUAUUAAUAUGACAAUUUCUUAAUGAAAAGUCAUAAAUAAAUAUCCUUAAAGAGUAUAUUUAUUGAUUCUCCAUUUUUUUAGUUUUUACCUUACCAUUACCCCCCGGUUUUUUUACCUGACCAUUACCCACCCAUGGACUAUAAUUAUUAAAUACUCGACCUUUGUCUAAAAAUUAAGCGACCUUUUAUCUCACUCUUAUGACACUUGCAUUUAUACUCGAUUAUACUUAUUCUCAAUUUUGGAGUCAGAAAUGAAAACUGAGGAACUUGGUAAUUCACAAAUGCAGGUGGAUUUGUCGUAUAUAAGUGAAUAAAUGGAAAGGAAGGGAUGUAUAUUUGGAAGAUAAGCACUUUUGCUGCAUAUAAAAACAAAAUACACGCGUUUUUAAUGAUGUGUAUGGGACUGGGCCAUUUUUCUUUAUAAUUAUAGGCCUACUUUUGUUUCAACUAAAAUUCAAGUACUUGGUUGGUGCAAAUAAGCGGAGCACGCGCCAUUUUGGUCUCUUUUUAGUAUUCUCACCUUGUGAAGAGACUCAAUUCAACUGUUUUGCUUAUACAAAUUAUCAUCCGUUAUAACCGGUUGAGAGAUGACGUGGUGGAGUUUUGACAUGUUGACGUGGCACAUUAUGGGGCCAAUUUGAGCAAGGAUCAUAUAGGACAGAUUUUGGAAAAUCUCUUUUCCUGCGACAAAAUAAUUUUAUUGUUACCCUCACUUCCCUUGUCCGGAUACUGAUUCAAAUCCAAUAUACGUACUUGGCCCAAGAUAUACCAAAUCAAAAUUACCCUCACAUUUUGUUUUUUCCUGCAAUAAUAUAGUAUUAUUUCAAAUUAUUUUUUUUUUCACCCAAAAAUUUGAUUUACCAUCAAAACAUAUAUGUUCUGUGAGAGCAAGUUCUCAUGACCUAUAGAAAUAAAUCAAAGCAAAAAUAAGUUUCGGCACCAAGGGACCAAAAUUCCUAUAGUUGAGGUAUAAAAUUAUGAAAAGGGAUAAUCGUUUUGUGGUAAAUUGUAUUAGGAAAGUCAAAUGCUUGAUAAGCCCAGAGGUCAACAUUGUGAGAUGUAGUAGCUUUUUGCUGGGUUAUUAGGUAAAAAUGAUUUCAGUUGUAUGUUCUCCAAAAUGUGUUAAGAAAAUAAGAAUUGGUUAUGAAAAUAAAAGUAGUAAAGUGCAAAUCUUAGAAAUUUCCCGAAGUGCUGGAAUUUGAAAUAACUUCAAAUGCGAUUUUGAGUCCUGAAAUUGUACAAUUUCGUAAAAGCCACACGGGCAUCAGAGUCAAAGGCAAAUGGGCAACAUUGUUCAUCUUGUUAAUAUACCAUACGCCCAAUUGAAAAAAUGUGGCCAAAAUGGCACCAAAUGAAUUUCACCUCAAAUCAUUCCUACAUCAAAAUUAUUUUUAAAAUAACUUUUUCCUGAAAAAUUUGAUCAAGUUAACCAUCAAAAUGUAAGUGUGUGGUAUCAUGUUCUUACGCUCGAAUGUAACUGAACAUUGAUGGAUUAUCUUUACUGGGAUCCCCUUUCUUUACGUAUAAAGUAGACUUUGAUUCUUCAAGAGGAACACUUUUCAAUUUUUUUCAAUUCCCACAAACCAGUCCAAAAGCUGAAGCUGUAUCCAAUUAAUGACCAUUUAGAUAUUUACUUAAGUUCGGCGAGAUGUUCGUUAUCUGUCAUAUUUGCCGGUGUAACAGCUAGCUAGACUAACAGUCAUUUACACAAACACAAUUCAUCUUCCCUUCCCUGUUUUGACUCUGUUCCAUUAGUUGACUAUCAAAGCGUAAUAACUGGAGGGCAUAAUGAAUAAAUAGCAUAUGGUACAAAUAAAAUAUUCUAAGUAUGUUACAGUUUGUUAAGCUAAGUUGUUAGACCUUCCAUUAGUUAUCAUAUAUGUAUGUAACUGGUCAAAACAAUACAUAAUUUACCAAAUCAAAAACAUAUUCUAGUUUUUCCACGAACCUGUCCAAAAGCAGAUGCGUUUAUACUAAAAGAAACCCCAACUCUCAGAUAUUUUAAGUCAUCAUAUAUGUAUGUAACUGGUCAACUGUAUGAACUUAAGCUGAAAACUUAUGCCAAGUUGCCUGCUCUUUCUUACUACUGAACUUAAAAUAGAAAGGCAUCUUUCCUUCAAUCCCUUCCCCCUAUAAGGCUCUAAAGUGAUCUUUUCUCCUGGUCAAUUGCAUGAAUUGCGGAGCAGUAAUCUUAAUUUAAUAUUUAUUGCCAAUUUUGUAAAACUCCAAACUUCUUUUCCACGGCUAUGAUAGUGAAACUCAUGGGAAGGAUCAGAAAAGUUGAAAGUUAGUGAUCUAAGAUAUGUCCAAAUUAAGAGGUAUGUAUACAAAAACUGAACAAAUCUUUCUUUCUCAAAGUCAUUAAUUAACAUUUCAGCCAAGUCCACCUUAUAAGUUAAGAUAAUUUUUUCUAGUCAUUAAUGAGCAUUUCGGUCAAGUCCACUGAAGAUAUAAGAGCAAUAACUGGAGGCAAAUAAAAAGUUGAAAAGGCUGAGUUAAAUAAUCGUAUGCUCAUCUUUCUUCACAAGUAGAUUACACAUCUUUCUUCACAACUUUUUUAACAAAUUGAAACAGAAUUAAAGUAGAGGAGGGAAAAUCAAUUGUGGUUUGUGCAUAAUGUAUAUGACUGACUAACUAACUACGAGUUUAGCUGCCUGCCACAUCAGCAUAAUAUAACACAUAAAUAAUAUCAUUCCGCGUCGAGGAUGUCGUCAAGAUCCCCCUCUUGAAAGGAUUCCACUUACCACCUAAAUUCCAAAGCAAGACUUGGUGCUGUAAGUCAAUAAAUAUUAUAUUAUUAAUUAAUUACACACCAUAUUCAACUUCUAUAAAUGGUCAUUAUAUCUCUCUCUCUUCUUGUGAUUUCAUCAUCCAGAAAAGAAAAAGAAAAUGGGUUAUAUCACUCAGCCUUAUCAACUUUUGAUUUGCCUCCAGUUAUUGCUCUUCUAUUCUCAGUGUUCAGCUGCAAUACUUUGCUCUCACGACCAAAGUUCUGCUUUACUCCAAUUUAAGCAGCUCUUUUCCUUUCAAAAAGAUUCCUCAUCCCGUUGUGAAGGAUAUCAACAAUCUCGUCCCAAGAUGAUGUCUUGGAAAGAGGACGCUGAUUGCUGCUCCUGGGAUGGAGUAACAUGUGAUUCGGCGACGGGUCACGUGAUUGGCCUCGACCUCAGUUGCAGUUGGCUUCACGGCAACAUCCCUUCCAACAGUAGCCUUUCCUUGCUUCCUCGCCUGCGAAAGCUCAACCUAGCCUUCAAUGAUUUCAAUUACUCUAAGAUUUCUUCUGGUUUUACUGAUCAAUUUCCGAGUUUGACAGUCCUUAACCUCUCUUUCAGCGAUUUCACGGGGUCAAUUCCUGCCUCACUAGGUAACAAUAUUACACAACUUGCUUAUUUGGAUCUUUCGAAUAACAGUUUUACUGGUCAGAUUCCAUCAUCUUUUUCAAAUCUUCAGCAACUUCGUCAUUUAGAUCUUUGGGAAAAUAAGUUUGUUGGUGAAAUUCCUGCCUCACUAGGUAACAAUUUUACACAACUUGCUUAUUUGGAUCUCUCAUUUAACAGUUUUACUGGUCAGAUUCCAUCAUCUUUUUCAAAUCUCCACCAGCUUCGUCAUUUAGGUCUUUCUUUCAAUAAUUUUGUUGGUAAAAUUCCUUCAUCAUUAGGUAACAAUAUUACACAACUUGCUUAUUUGGAUCUCUCACAUAACAGUUUUGGUGGUCACAUUCCAUCAUCUUUUUCAAAUCUUCAGCAGCUUCAUCAUUUAGAUCUUCAAUCCAAUAAAUUUGUUGGUAAAAUUCCAGAUAUGUUUACCAACCUAACCCACCUUAAUUUUUUAAGCUUGGCAUCAAAUGAACUGAUAGGCUCGAUUCCAAGUUCAUUCUUUGAACUUGUGAAUGUGACUGUGAUCCAUCUUUCUUCUAACAAUUUAAGCGGCACUGUUAAGCUGUACGAUUUUGCAAAGCUCAAAAAUCUUAAAUAUUUUUAUCUUUCUAAUAAUAGUUUAUCAUUGAGCACCAAAUUAACAGUCAACUCGUCUUUCCCUAAUCUUCUGGGGUUGGGUUUAUCGGCUUGCAAUAUAAGUAAGUUUCCAGACAUCUUGAGAACUCAACAUCAGUUAGAGUGGUUGGACCUUUCUAAAAACCAAAUCCGUGGUAGGAUUCCCAGUUGGAUGUACGAUAUUGGAGUACAUACUUUGGAAGGAUUAGAUCUUUCACACAACUUCCUGACAAGCAUAGAACAUCUUCCGUGGAAAAAUCUUAGAAUUCUUUACCUUCAUUCGAACUUACUUCAAGGAUCACUUCUAGAUCUACCACCUCACUUGAAUUACUUUUCAAUUUCCACCAAUAAUUUGAUUGGAGAGAUUCCUUCAUCAUUUUGUAAUUUGAGUUCCAUUCUAUAUUUUAACUUAUCCAACAAUGGCUUGAGUGGACAAAUUCCACAAUGUCUUGGAUACUCUACACUUGAAACUUUGGAUCUACGAACGAACAACUUCCAAGGUAGCAUCCCACAGACAUAUGCAAAGGGCUGCAACUUGACUUAUCUUCGACUGAGUGGCAAUCACUUGGAGGGACCAUUACCACCAUCUUUGAUUAACUGUGUCAAUUUGCAAUUUCUUGAUGUUGGCAAUAACAACUUGAGCGGCCCAAUUCCAGAAUGUCUUGGAAACUCAACACUUGAAGUCUUGGAUAUGAGAAUGAACAAGUUCAGUGGCAGCCUCCCUCAAACAUUUGCAAAAGGUUGUGUUUUGGCAAGUUUUAACCUUAAUGGCAAUCGGUUAGAAGGACCAUUGCCUCCAUCUUUGGUUAAUUGUCGGCAUUUGGAAGUUAUAAAUGUUGGGAAUAAUCAGAUUAAUGAUUCCUUUCCCCACUGGUUAGACGUUCUUCCCGAAUUGCAAGUACUUAUAUUGCGUUCUAAUAGAUUUUGUGGUCCCAUUGGUGAUACCAAAACAAGAGUUCCUUUCCCGAAGUUGCGAAUAAUUGAUCUCUCUUACAAUCGACUCACCGGUGUUUUGCCAAUAUGGUAUCUGAAUGGUUUUAAAGCCAUGAUGCACGGGGAUGACAAUAGUAUUAAAGUCAAUUAUAUGUGGUCGCUGAAUUAUUCUUACUAUGAAUCAAUAUCUCUGACUAUGAAAGGCAAUGACAUACAAAUGGAGAGGAUUUUAACCACUUUUGCAACUAUUGAUUUGUCGAGCAACAAAUUUCAAGGGGAAAUAUCAGUAGUGUUGGGAAAGCUUAAUUCACUCAAAAGUCUCAACAUUUCUCACAACAACCUGACAGGUGGCAUUCCAUCGUCGCUAAGAAAUCUGAUAGAGCUUGAAUCUCUAGACCUCUCUUCAAACAAGCUUACUGGACGUAUCCCAACACAACUGGCAAGUCUCAAUUAUCUUUCGGUGUUGAAUUUUUCGAACAACCAGCUCGAGGGACCCAUACCAAGAGGACCCCAGUUUAAUACAUUUGGAAAUGAUUCCUAUUCUGGUAACUCGGGGCUGUGUGGAUUCCCAUUAUCGAAAAGCUGCAGCAUUGAUGAGGCACCAGAGCCAACAACACCAACAGGAUUUAUCGAAGGAGACGAUGCUUCAAGCUGGUUUGAUUGGAAGCUCGCUAAGUUGGGUUAUGCAUCUGGAGUGGUGAUCGGCUUGUCCAUUGGAUACAUGGCAUUUGCGACUGGAAGGCCACAAUGGUUUGUAAGAAUGAUCGAAAGGAAGCAAUCCACGAAGUUGAGAAGGGUGAUCAGACGAGGCGGAGCAGGUAGAAGAAGUUUGUAGGUGCAUCUCUAAAGGCCCAGGUGAGUAAUUAUUAGUUUGUCUUUUGGAAUUAUUAGCUGGUUUCUACUGUUCUUUGAGUAGAUAGCAUGCUGAUAUUAUCGUAAUCUAGCAAUUGACUUACAAAAACCACCAUCCUAAUUAAUUUCAGAUUAUGUUUAUUAUCUUCAACAUCUAUAGUGAGAAAGAAAAUUUUAACUGAAUUAUUGAUGUGGUUGUUUUCUUCAGGAAUUAUAAACUCCUAGAAGCUAUCAGUGGAAGUCAAAUAAUCCUCCAAGUACUCAAAUUGUUUUUACUUUAAUUUCAAUUUCAUGAAAUUGCUUUUACUUUUAUUUCCAUUUCAUUAGAACAUGUAAUCACAGACGUAUGUUUUGAUGGUAAAAUGAUUUGAAGGAAAUUGUGUGGGGGGAACUCUACACUUAUAUCUUCAAAUUUGGGCGUAGAACGUACUAUAUCAAAGUUUGAGAGCGGAAAACAUUCUUAUUAAGUGGGUGCAUUGCCCUCUUUGAGAAAAUGUAUUAAAUGAAAUCCCACACAUCUGCUAAUGGGAUUGUACAACGUUGACGGCACUCACAUCUGAGGGUUUAAAGUAAUUUUCGUAGAUCUUUUAUUGUAAUAUAUGUAUCUAUAUUUCAAAAGGAAGAAACCACCGUCAUCCAAAUUUAAUUAAGAAAAAUCUUCACUUUUUCAUAUAUCAACUUUUUUUCGUUUUGUAGAAACAAAAAUAAUUAUGCGUAAAAUGAAACCAAACUGCCAUUAAAUUUAGAGGGGUUUUCAUAGCGAUGCCAUACCUUAACAGCAGUCCCCACGUACGGCGCGGCCAAUGAUUCCACUUAUAACAUGUUCUUAAGAUAAUUUGAUUGGGUGUAAAAAGAAAAUGGUUUGAAUAAUUGAAAAAACAUUGGUCCAAAAUCUCUAACCUUUUAUGAUCCUUGUUCAAAUGGCCCAGUACGUGCCACGUCAACAUGUGCAAACUCAUCCACGUCACCAGCCUCAGCGCUCUCGCCACGUCAUCACUCGAUGAUCAUUGGAUUAAGAAAAACAGUUGAAUUGGGUCUCGUCAGUCGUCACAGAGGCCGAGCACAAAAGACAAAGAGAAACCGAAAUGGCGCGAGCUUUGCUUCAUUUGAAUCGCACAGCCACGGCCAUAAUAAUUAUGUUGAUUGAUGUGGUUGGACUUUCGUAUGUUAUUAUUUAAAUCCCCUAAUAUGUUAAAAUUUAAAAAACUGUAAAACUUGUUUAAAGUAACAUAAAUAUAAAAAUUACUCUACUCAAAAUCUCAACCAUAAAUUAUAUAAAUAACUAAAUAUAAAUACAAAGUUAAAAACCAUGUCUCAUUCCUUUAAAAAACACACAUUGUGGAAUUGGGCUGCUCAAGUUGUUAUUCCUGAAAUUAAUAAACAUUAAACCGAUACAAUUAACUAAAUAUGGUGACAAUGGUCCUUCUAGGCGAUUGUCAUUCAGCGUAAGCAUACAAAUUGCAACCUUUUUGCAUAUGAUUGUGGGAUUCUACCACGAAGAUUGUUCAUUCUAACAUCUAAGCACCCCACUGUAAAGUUUCCAAGGCACGGCUGAAGCUAUUAUUGGACAUAGAGAUGGCCACUCGCCAAUGCGAGUAUGUUUUAGAAGGGCACGUAGCAUGGUAUGCACACAAAUUAACAAACUAGAUAGGGCUGAGAAUUUUAAGUAUGUGGUCCUUAAAAUCAUGUCCUUCUCUAAAUGCAACAAUGGAAAAUAUCAAAUAAUCGUGACUCAAUUAAUUGUAGCAAUAAUCAUGUAGGAGAUGAUAUGAGCUUAAUUUGGGUGUACAUCUUUGGUUUUAUAAGUUGAAUUUGAAUGUGUAAUAUUAUUGUUCUGAAACUCAAUAAGAUAAUUGAUUGGGUGUAAAAAGAAAAUGGAUUGAAUAAUUGAAAUAACUUAAGUCCAAAAUCUCUGACCUUACAUGAUCCUUGUUCAAAUGACCCAGUACGUGCCACGUCUACAUGUGAAAACUCAUCCACGUCACCAGCCUCAAUAUUAUCGCCACGUCAUCACUCAACAGGUUACCAGUGACGAUAAUUUGGAUAAGAAAAAUUGUUGAAUUGAGAGCCUUCACUCUUCACAGAGAAACCAAAAAAGCGCGAGCUUUGCUUCACUUGAAUAGCACAGCCAUGGCCUUAGUGGCCAGGGCUAAAGCCUACAAGUGCUACUACAGAGACAGUUCUUGAUGGAGCUCAGUUUCAAAUGAAGAACCAAAACACCCGCGUUUUGGUACUUGGAGUUACGGGUCGGGUCGUUGGAUCCACUGCUGUUUCUCUCUACAAAUUCUGCACCAACCUUCAUAUUGUAGUUGGCUCUCGAAACAGGUCAAAUCAUCAAUGUCCUUUUCUUUCUUCUGUUUGGUUUCCGAAAAAAUGCAAGAAAUAAAGGAGGGAAAUUUUUAAAGCUUUGUUAUUUUCUGUUAUUUUUAUGUUUACUAUGUUUCUUUGGUUCUUUUAAAAUUUAAAUUCAAGGUGAUGGCUAAGGGUAAACUGCAAUGCUUUUACAUGAUUCCGAAAGCACAUUUCUAAACAGCCACUCAACUACAAGCGAUUGUCAUGUCCUGCAAUUGUAGAUUAAGGCUACAUUAGGUAGUGGUAUUGUGCGGUCGAGGCUUUUUAAGGCACAUCUACUUUUAAAUGAGAGCUACUGUGAAAUCAAAGUUUUAGUUAUAAAAUAAAAGUUUAUAGUGUUUGGUAAUUUUUUUAAAUAAUAAUUUUGAUAAAAAUAGUAAACCUAACAUAGGUUAGGCAUUUGUGGAUAAAUUUGCUUUAAUUGUCAAACUGUGGCUAUACUAUUUACUAAAUAUUUUAGAGUGCCUAAACAAGCCAUUAUAAAAUUACCAAUUAUACAAAAAAUUGUAAUUCUCUCACUUUUUGGUUUUCAUAAGCAUUCGAAAGGCAAUCAUAUCUUUUUCUUUUUUUUUAUUGAUAUGCUUUGACCACGGUAUGUUAUUAUUUUAGAAUGUUGUCAAACAUGUUAGUUCUUGGAUGGAACUAUAGAGUUGUGAAUUCAAAUAGUUAUGGCUGGAAUGUUUCCUAAUUUAGAGUGUUGCUGAGAAAAUUCUGCAUACUGGCAGGGAAAAAAGUGCCACAAUGGUCUCUACACUGAGGAAGAAUUCUGCAUUUGCUGAAGUUAACGUUGACAAUGAAGGCUCAUUAUUAAUGGCUUUAAUGUUGUGUUUACUUUCUGAAGUGGGAGUAAGGAGUGUGGAUUCCUCCCACUCUAAUGUUCACUUCAACAUUUUAAGGUAGGAUGGGGAGUGGGAGUGGGACUCCAAUGUUCCGCUCCCACCUCUUCCUUUUCUACCCUCUUUUUAUUAAAUUUAAUAUAAUUAUAUUUAAUAAAUUAAUUCCACUCCCACCUCUUCCUUUUCUACCCUCUUUUUAUUAUAUUUAAUAUAAUUAUAUUUAAUAAAUUAAAAUAAAUAAUAUUAUAUUUAUUUAAAUAAUAUUAUUAUAUUUAACUAAAUAAUAAUUUGUAUUGAUUCUAAGUUAAAAUUACUUAAAAAUAAUAUUAUUAUAUUAAUAGAGAAUUAAUAAUAUUACUAUAAACUAUCUUUAUCUGAAAAUAUAAUACUAUUAUAUUUAUUUAAAAAUAAUAGUAUUAUAUUUAUUUAAUAUUAAUAAUUAAUAGUAAUAAAUAGUUUAUUCUAAGAAAAUAUUAAUUUCGUACUAUCUUAAUAGUAAAAAUGUUUUAUUUAUAUUGCCCUUAUCAAUAAUUUUUAAUUUACAUACUUAAAAUUAAAAUUAAUAAAACAAUGUGAUGUACAGAAUUAAGAAUAUUAAGAAUUAUUAUAAUUUUACAAAUAUAAUAAAAUAAAUAUUUACUCAUCAAAUAUAUAUUGUUAAUAACUUUGUAAUUAAAAACUAUAAUUCUUUAAAUAAAGGUAAAAUUAUAAUUUGAAACUAUUUACUCCCAAUUCAAGAUAAAGUAAACACAUAAAUUAGAUUCUUAUUUCCAUUUCAUACUUCCAUUCUGAUGUAAGUAAACAACAUGCUCUCACUCCUACUUUACACUCUCAAUCCUAAAAUUUCCACUUUUCAGAAUUCUUACUUCAAUCUAAAAUGUAAACACUACCUAAGAAGUGUGAUCAUUCCUCUCGUACUAGAUGUAUCUUCUGUUACUCCGCAUCAAUAAUUAUUUUUCUUCUAGGGUCGUGGUAAAGGAAUUUUUUCAGGACAGAUAUUUCGUUAUUGACAAUAUUUUAAUGAUGUUUUAGUCUAUAGUUGAAAUGCUGCAACUUUGCUUCUGCAGAUGUGGAUCUUGUGGUUCAUGCAGCAGAGCCUUUUCAAGAGGCACCGAAAUGCACUGUAUUGGAAUUUGCCAUGGAAACCAAGGUGAGGAAAGGUAAAUGUUGUGUUUGAUUCUCUCUUUUCCAAGUCCAGUUUUCUACGUUUUAUAUAUGUGAUGAUUGAAGUAUGUAUACAACUUUACUAUGUAACCGAGAUGUCAUCUUAUGUGUUCUUUUUGUGUCUCCUAACAGACAGCAUACAUUGAUGUUUGUGACGAUACCAGCAACUCUCAGCCCGCAAAGUCCUUCGAGGUUAAAGCAAUAACUGCAAACAUUCCAGCCGUAACUUCUGAAGGAAUCUAUCCAGGAGUAAGCAAUGGUGAUUUUAUGAACAUUCUUGUCCUGCAAUCUGCACUUCUACUGCAGAAAAUUAAAUAUAUGAUGUGAAGUGAAGAGUAUGGAUGGAUAGAGCACAAAUUCUGCAAUUGAAACAUGUAAAGCCUACAAAUUCUUGCUUUAGAGCUAAAACAUCAUUGUUGGUGAACCCAUAGGCCUGGCUCCAAAGCUCUUAUAUAUUAUGGACAGGAUCCAGCGUGCUUGUGUUCAUAUACAUGAUUUUUGCCACCGGAAGACCUCAGUGUUUUGUAAAGAUGAUUGAACGGAAGCAAUCUAAGAAGGUCACGAGGAGGGUGCAUCCACUGCUCCAAGCUAUUUGUAGGUUGCACGCUGAUUUUGAUAUAUUCUGAACUACUAUUUGAACUGCAUAAUAAUGUGACGUGUUUUUUGUACAGGAAUUUUAGACUCAUGGAAGGUAGCAUUGGAAGUGAAUCAAUCCUCCUGGUGCCAAAUUUGCCUUGCUUUAUUUCCAUAUCUUUAUUGGUAAUUAAAUUUAUAAAAUAUUUGAGGGAAAAAAUGAUUCGAAAAAUUAUUGAUGUGGGAAAUGGCGUGGGCUGACUUUGAUUUAGUGCAUCUCUGGGCUAUGAAAUGUUGAAUUUGGGCGUACUUGGAAGCCUGCAACAAGAUGAACAACAUUCACUGUCAUUUAGGAAAUUACCCAUGAGACUAUUGACAAAUUUCAAUGUUUCUGGACUAAAUAUCGCAUUUCAAGUUACUUAAUUUCGAGCACUUUAGGAAUCUUCUAUGAUUUUAUUUUUAUUUUUAUUUUAUAAGAAGUUCAUUUGUUACUUCAGUGUUAUAUCUUUUUCUUACUCUAAUUUCCAGUAUUUUUCUAAUAAUGGUUGGAAUCUGCUGUGUUCAUAGAUUAGGCAUUAACAGGCUAUAAAACCUCAAGGCUAAACAAUUUUUAUCAAUUAAACAUAUUAUUCGGAAACUUUAUUUCUUCUUUUCGUCUCACUUUAGAAAUAUUUAUAAGCCCAACGAAUUUGCCCGUUUAACAAAUUGUUCUUUGUAUGCGCCAUGGGGAAAAUCAAAUAAUAUUUAUAGGCUAACUUCAAUGCCUUCUUGCAUAUAAUUGUAAGAUUUGGGCAUUUAAUAUGUCAUUUGAAGUACGCAAUGAGAUGGAUAAAAAUCUUUUCCUUCUCGUGAUGUAUGCGAGACUUUUUGCCAAAUUCCAAUGCCUUCUUGCAUUAAAAGUGGGACACAUUAUUUUGUAUUAAAACGAAUUUGCCAGUUUAACACAUUGUACUAAUCAAAUAACUUUAUUUGAUUCGCUAUUCGAUCAUAAGGGAUGUAGGUGUUAUAACAUAUAUAUGGAUACAGUCUAUUCCUCUACCUUAUAUAAAACAAUAAUAACACCAACUGGAGUCUAGGCGGCUGCCACAUCACCAUGUACGACAGACAACUAACAUUUUUCUUAUCUAUAUAUCGUUUGAGCUUUAAUUUGGACUGGUUCAUGGAAAUUGAAUAAUCAAAGUCUACUAAAGACGUCAAGAAAGGAAACGAGUAAAAUACAAACAUAGUCUAUCAAUGUUUAAUGCUUAAUGUAACGUUACGUGUUGGCUGUAUUAAUAGAAAUUCUCCGCAUCUGCCAAUAGGCUCGUAGCCCCUUGACAACACUCAUGCUCUCAAAUCUUGAGAGCAAUUAAUUCGUGGGACUCACUUUUUUCUGUCAGUAUAAUUAGAUAUGGGUAGAUUUUUUCCACUAAUAUAAAUAGAGCAUAUAUCCCUAACAAAUUUACGAAAUUAUCCAUCUGACUUUUAGGAAAUUAUACCAUUUCAGGACCCAAAAUUGCAUUUGAAUUUAUUUUAAAUUACAGCGCUGAGGACCAACAAAGUGUUGGCUCCACUGGCAAUGGAGUCCCCUUAAGUGGCUUGACUGGGUUUGCUCCCCAGUUCGAGUCGCAGGGAAGUCGCCUUUGUUGGGAGAACAUGUGCCUCCCGGUUCGAGCGGGGACUUCUAGUCUGGGUUGUGGUACGGGCUUAAAGGUGUCUCCCAUAGUUGGGGCCCUCCCCAGGAUACCUCGUGAUUAUAUCAAAAAAAAAAUUACAGCGCUGAGGAAACUUCUAAGAUUUGUACUUUUAUUUUCAUAACAAAUUGUUAAGCAACUUCCGUUUGUUGCGUUUUUAAUUAAUUUCAAUUUAAUCCUUAAUCUUCUCUGAAUUUCUUUUCUUUUUUUUCAGCUUAGGAGAGCAUAUUAACGCCUACAUAAAAGAAGCUAUAUACCACUGUAAAUAGAGUACUAUUAGUACAAAAUUAAUUCAAACUAGUGAAAAAGAUCACAAAUUUAUAAAGCCUUACUGUGGAAUGCUCAAUGUUGACUUAGGAAAAGGGUUUAAGAUCUAUAUUGAGAAUUGAUCAAGCAAUUUCAGCAUAGAGAUUACACACAUAUAUAGUAAACAAUUAAGAGUAAAUGGAAGGUUGAAUUUUACAAAACUAGCGACAAAUGCACCAAUAAACUAGACUUGGUGCUCUGACUCUAAAGGUGUUCUAUUUAAUUAGAUUCCCCUGUAGUGGUGUGAUUAAAAGAGAUGGAUAGAAAAGGUUAUUUUAACUUAAGAGGUGGACUUGACUAAAGUGUUCAUUAAUGACAUGACGUUGAGAAAGAAAGACUUAUUCUCUACAUACCUCUUAAUUUGGGCAAUCCUACAUCAGUAACUUUCAACUUUUUUUUAUUCUUCCCAUGGGUUUCAUUAUCAUAAUUGUGGAAAAAAAGUUGUUGUUUGGAGUUUUGCAAAAUUAGCCAUAAGUUCAUGCAUCAACUAGAUUCCAAAACAAUAUCAUCAGGCUCAGUAUAACAAAGGACUUGGUGCAUACUCUAAGUCCAAAUGAAUUAUAAUUAAUUAGAUUAUUUCAUCCUCAAUUUUAAACGUUAGUAUUGAUCAAUCUUAAAAGUAGAUUACCCAUAUUAACUUGCAGUAAACUAAUUAAGAAGUAAAUGGAUGGUCGAACAACCUGCUUAACAAAUCGAAACAGAGGAGGGAAAAAUAUGAGUCUAGCUGGCUGUUACAUCUCUUUUUACAUACAUAAAUAAAUAUCAAAAUUAUUAUUAAUUGGAUGCAGCUUCAGCUUUGGUGCUGGUUUGUGAAAAUUGGAAAAACUGGAAAAUUGAUAGCUCUUUCUCCUUUUGAAGAAUCAAAGUCUACUUUAAAUAAUAAUCCCCAUCAAUAUUUAAUGCUUGUUAUUGACUUUAAACCAGCGGCCGCUUUCAGAAAGAAAGACUUCAAUCGAAAAGUAAAUAGAUUCCCUCCUUUACUUCCACUUCAUGAGUUACAACUAACCAUUUCACUUCUAUAUAUGGUAAUUUCUCUUCUUGGGAUUUCAUCAGGAGAAAAAAAGGAAAAAAAGAAAAGAAAAGAAAAGAAAAUGGGAUAAUAUCACUCAGCCUUAUCAACUUUUGAUUUGCCUGCAGUUAUUGUUCUUGUAUUAACGAGGCUAUGUAUCAUUCAAUUAACUAAACACAUUUUGGUGAACAUACAACUGAAAUCAUUUUCACACAAUAACGUAGCAAAAAGCUACUACAUAUCACAAUGUUGACCACUGGGCUAAUCAAGCAUUUACCUUUCCUAAUACAAUUUAUCACAAAACGAUUAUCCCUUUUCAUAUUUUAAGUUCAGUAGUAAGAAAACAGUGUCCGUUUCAUAUUUUCAGUUAUUGCUCAAUCCCUUUACAAAAAAGUAUGUACAUUUACAAGGGAUAGAAGAUUUUGGUUUGACUUUGAUAUGACCAUAAAUACUAUUGAAAUUACAAGCUUUAGAAGUUCACAAAAUAAAUAUUGUAAAUUUAAGGGGGCUAAAUCAUAAGCUUUACAAAUAAGUGGAUUCAAUUUUAGUUUGUACCUUUAUCAGUUAAUCUAAUUUUCCAAUUUUCAAACCAAAAUUUAGUUUUUAAUUUUUUGAUUAAAUUUCUUUAGAAAAUACUCAACUAAAUACUAUUUAUAGUUAAAUAUUAGUUUGAAUGAACACAUUCAUAGAUAAUUGUGUAAGCAAUUUAUUUGGUUAAUUAAUGGUUGUAAUCUUUAAAAAUGAGAAUUACUAAUUUUAAAAAAUUCCAAUGGUUACUGUAUUAAAAGUAUGUUUGGAACAUAGCAUUGCAUAGUAUUAUAAUACUAUUCAUAUUAAUUUAUCGCUAACCUAUGUUUGGUAAUUUUAGAAGCCACAUUGUGGUGCAUGUGCACCAGAAUGUGCCAACUGUUGCCUCAAUUGAGAUGUUGAACAUAUUCUAAUUAUCAUUUAAUAAUAAAUAAAAUAAAAUAGAAGUUAAAUUAUAAUGUUUUUAUUUAAUAACACAAUAUUACAUUAUAUUUAUACAUUAGUAAUUAAUAUAAAAUAAUAAUUUAAUAACUAUUUUAAUAUAAUUAUUGGUAAAGUAAUAAUAAAUCUAAAUAAUACUAAUUUAAUAUUAGUACAAAAUUAACAAAGUACAAUUUAACGCUAAAUAUUAUACAAUAUUAUUAUAAUACAAUUCUAAUUCAAUAUCUCAUAAAGUGCAUUAAAAGACAUGAUACGGUAUAAGUGAAGAGUAAUGGAUUUUAGUUUGCAUUAACGUAUGCCCAUUACUAUAAACCAAUGGCCCAACACUUGGCAUGUCAAAGACAAAAACUAUCCAUACUGGCGCCACAUCAUCACUCAUUGUAAACUGAAAAGAAAAUUUUUGAUAAGAAAACAGUUGAAUAAUUGAAUUUCGAGUCUUUGGUGGACAUUAUCCUUUUUAUAGUAAAUAUAUCUUUGAGUUAAACAGUUACUAAAACAUUGGGGCUAAUUUUUCAUUUAACUACAAAAUUACUUUUAUUGGAACCCAUAAAACAAUUUUUAAGAGGUUAAUUAGUUAUGUCACAUCUUCAACUAUUGUCAAAUUAUUAUUCGAGUUCAUCAUUUAAGUGGUAAAUGCGUUACUUAAAACAUUUCAAAUGAUAUAUUAAACAAAUAUUUUGAGGAACAAGGCUCAUUAUGUCUCCUCUCAUUAGUUGUAUUUUUAAUUUCUUUUUAAAAAAUUCUCUCAUAUUCAAUUAAAAAAAAUCAGCCACUCAAAAAAAAAAAAAAAUACUUAGCUUCGCGGCUGAAUGGGGCUAAAUUAUGUAUUGUUUGACUAGCAAAACUCUUACCACAUCGGCUGCCCACGUCAUAUGUGCCCACUAAGUUUAUUAUGGUGAAGUCCAUGUCAACAUGUCAAAACUCGGCCACGUCAUCAACUACGUCAUCUCUCAACUAGUUAUAACGGAUGAUAACUUGGAUGAGCAAAACAAUUGAAUUGAGUCUCUUCACAAAAGUAGGACCAUAAUUAUAACUAAUUUAUAAAAUUUAUAUUACUUUAUUUGCAAUAUCGUUUUUAAUUAUGUCUAUAUUAGUAUGAAUCUUAAACUCAAGUUUUGGAUUAAUAGAAUCUAGUAUUAUUAAAGUCCUUUGGGAUAGACUAAUAAUAACUUAAUAUUAAAAAUAAUUUUCAUUAUUUAUGUUACCUUAUUAAUUAUACUUCUUGUUUUAUUUUAUUCCUAUCAGAAGCUAUUUAUUUAUUAUUUUUAUUUUAUUACUAUAUUUAUAUUUAUUUAGGUUAUUAUAAUCAAAGGUUAUAAUAGUUAUUUAUAAGGAGGGUCUAUGUGACCACCUAAGCAAACCUUAGGGCCGUGGUUACGGGGGUGGUCCUUUUUCCCUAAGCAAUAAUGUAUGAAAUGACCUUGAAUGUACUUAAAUCAUAUGCAACCUAUUUACUAUCUCUCUUUGAGAGUUUUUUUUUUUAUUGAAUAUUAGAUAUUGAGAGACUUAAUCAGAUGCGAUGAGCAACAUGUCACCUAAUUAUAGACUGGUGUGUUAAAAGCUUGGUCAAUUAUCAAGUAACACGUGGUAUCACGCACAAUAACAUACACGAUGAUGCACAUCUGAUCAUUCUUUUUGGAUAUCAAUUGAUCUAAGCCUACAAGUUCAACGUAUAGAGUACACGUAUUUACAGUAGAAUACAAAGUGUGUCAACUUGCUUAAUAAACUAAAACAUAAUCAAAAUAGAGGAGGGAAAAUGAACAGUGUGUCUAUGUAUGUGUAAUUGGAGUUUGGAUCUUACGGACUUAGUCGACUAACUUUCAAAUAACUUCAUUUGAUUCGCCAUUGGAUGAUAAAGGAGGUAUGUGUUAUAACAUGUAUAACUUCAGAUUUCGAAUUUCAACCCCAUUCCUAUGGAUGUGGAGAAAUUUGAAUAGUCAUAAAAUUAUAAAUGGAUGUGGAGAAAAUUGUAGUGAAGUAAUUAAGAAGUAAAUGGAAGGUCUAACAGCUUGCUAAGAAGCUGAAAUAGAAUCAAAACAGAGAAGGGAAAAUGAAUUUUGUCUGUGUAAAGUGUCCGUUUAAUGUCAGUUUGAACCAUGAGUUUCAUAGCCGUGGAAAAGAAAUUGAAGUAGUUUGGAAUUUUACUAAAUUGACCACAAAUUCAUGCACCUACUAGAUUCCAAAACCAUAUCGUGAGGCUCCCAGUAUAACAAGACUUGGUGCAUGCUCUAAGCCUAAAUGAAUUACAAUUAAUUAAGAUACUCCUCCUCAAAAGAUAGUAUUGAUGAAGCUUACAGUUAGAUUACACAUAUUAAUUUGUAGUCCACUAAUGGAAGGUCUAACAACUUAGCUUAACAAACUGUAACAGAGUCAAAACAGGGGAGGGAAGAUGAAUUGUGUUUGUGUAAAUGACUGUUAGUCUAGCUAGCUGUUACACCGGCAAAUAUGACAGAUAACGAACAUCUCGCCGAACUUAAGUAAAUAUCUAAAUGGUUAUUAAUUGGAUACAGCUUCAGCUUUUGGACUGGUUUGUGGAAAUUGAAAAAAUUUGAAAAGUGUUCCUCUUGAAGAAUCAAAGUCUACUUUAUACGUAAAGAAAGGGGAUCCCAGUAAAGAUAAUCCAUCAAUGUUCAGUGGAAUAAUUAAAAGUGAUUUUUUAAUUAUUCCACUGCCCAACAUGAGAUUCCAAAGCAAGACUUGGUUCCCUAAGUCAAUAAGUAUCGAGGGGUCCACACGCAUUUCCGCGAGGCAUUAAAUAUAUUUUAAUUAUAAUUAUAAUAAAUAAAAUAUAAAAUAAGUUAUAUUAUAAUAUUACACAAAUAGAUUACACAUAUUAUUCCUCCUCAUCUUUCUUAACAAGUAGAUUACACAUAUAUAUUAUCAAGAAGUAAAUGGAAGGCCGAACAACUUUUUUAACAAACUGAAACAGAAUUAAUGCAGAGGAGGGAAAAUCAAUUGUGCUUUGUGCAUAAUGUAUAUGACUGACUAACUAACUAAAUUAAUGGUGUUGGAUUAAUAGAUGGGAAGACGUUCAAGAAGCCACGUUGUCCGUACGAGAAGGAGCGUUUAGAUGCCGAGUUGAGGCUGGUGGGAAGUUUCGGGCUGCGGUGCAAGAGGGAGCUGUGGAGGGUUCAGUAUGCAUUGAGUCGGAUUCGCAACGCGGCGAGGGAUCUUCUCACUCUGGACGAGAAGGACCCUCGCCGCAUCUUCGAAGGCCAGGCCCUCCUUCGCAGGAUGUUUAGGUACGGCCUUUUGGAGGCGACUCAGCAUAAAUAACACAUAACUAAUAUCAUUCCGCGUCGAGCACGUCGUCAAGAUCUCCCUCUUGAAAGGAUUCCACUUACCACCUAAAUUCCAAAGCAAGAAGACUUGGUGCUGUAAGCCAAUAAAUAUUAUAUUAUUAAUUAAUUACACACCAUAUUCAACUUCUAUAAAUAGUCAUUAUAUCUCUCUCUCUUCUUGUGAUUUCAUCAUCCAGAAAAGAAAAAGAAAAAGAAAAUGGGUUAUAUCACUCAGCCUUAUCAACUUUUUAUUUGCCUCCAGUUAUUCCUCUUCUAUUCUCAGUGUUCAGCAAUACUUUGCUCUCACCACCAAAGUUCUGCUUUACUCCAAUUUAAGCAGCUCUUUUCCUUUGAAAAAGAUUGUUCAUCCGGUUGUGAUAUAUUUCAACAAAUAUCUCGUCCAAAGAUGAUGUCUUGGAAAGAGGACGCUGAUUGCUGCUCCUGGGAUGGAGUAACAUGUGAUUCGGUGACGGGUCACGUGAUUGGCCUCGACCUCAGUUGCAGUUGGCUUCACGGCAACAUCCCUUCCAACAGUAGCCUUUCCUUGCUUCCUCGCCUGCGAAAGCUCAACCUAGCCUUCAAUGAUUUCAAUUUCUCUAAAAUUUCUUCUGGUUUUACUAUUCAAUUUCCAAGUUUGACACUCCUUAACCUCUCUUUCAGCAAUUUCACGGGGCCAAUUCCUGCAUCACUAAGUAACAAUAUUACACAGCUUGCUUAUUUGGAUCUCUCAUCUAACAGUUUUAGUGGUCACAUUCCAUCAUCUUUUUCAAAUCUGCAGCAGCUUCGUCAUUUAGAUCUUCGGGGCAAUAACUUUGUUGGUGAAAUUCCUGCGUCAUUAGGUAACAAUAUCACACAGCUUGCUUAUUUGGAUCUAUCAUUUAACAGUUUUAGCGGUCAGCUUCCAUCGUCUUUUUCAAAUCUUCAGCAGCUUCGUCAUUUAGAUCUUCAGGACAAUAACUUUGUUGGUGAAAUUCUUGUGUCAUUAGGUAACAAUAUUACACAGCUUGCUUAUUUGGAUCUAUCAUUUAACAGUUUUAGUGGUCACAUUCCAUCAUCUUUUUCAAAUCUUCAGCAGCUUCGUGAUUUAGGUCUUGGGGGCAAUAAAUUUGUUGGUCAAAUUCCGGAUAUGUUUACCAACCUAACCCAACUUUCUUCUUUAAACUUGGCAGAUAAUCAACUGAUUGGCUCGAUUCCAAGUUCAAUCUUUGAACUUGUUAAUUUGACUGAGAUCUAUCUUUCUUUUAACAAUUUCAGUGGCAGCGUUGAGCUUUACGAUUUUGCAAAGUUCAAAAAUCUUAAAUAUCUUAUUCUUUCUAAUAUUAGUUUAUCAGUUAGCACCAAAUUAACAGUCAACUCGUCUUUCCCUAAUCUUUGGGUGUUGGGUUUAUCGGCUUGCAAUAUAAGUGAGUUUCCAGACAUCCUGAAAACUCAACAUCAGUUAGACUGGUUGGACCUUUCUGAAAACCAAAUCCGUGGUAGGAUUCCCAGUUGGAUGUGGGAUAUAGGAGUACAUACUUUGUUUCGCCUAGAUCUUUCACGAAACUUCCUGACAAGCAUAGACCAUCUUCCGUGGAAAAAUCUCGAAUUUCUUACCCUUGAUUCGAACCUACUUCAAGGAUCACUUCCAGAUCUACCACCUCACAUGGUACAGCUUUCAAUUUCCAACAAUAGUUUGACCGGAGAGAUUCCUUCAUCAUUUUGUAAUUUGAGUUCCAUUCAAUAUCUUUACUUAUUCAACAAUAGCUUGAGUGGACAAAUUCCACAGUGUCUUGGAAACUCUACACUUGAAACUUUAGAUCUCGGAAUGAACAACUUCCAAGGUAGCAUCCCACAGACAUAUGCAAAGGGCUGCAACUUGACUUAUCUUCGGCUGAGUGGCAAUCACUUGGAGGGACCAUUACCGCCAUCUUUGAUUAACUGUGUCAAUUUGCAAGUUCUUGAUGUUGGGAAUAACAACUUGAGCGGCCCAAUUCCAGAAUGUCUUGGAAACUCAACACGUUUGUCAUUUCUUGAUGUUGGGAAUAACAACUUGAGCGGCCCAAUUCCAGAAUGUCUUGGAAACUCAACAAGUUUGUCUUUUCUUGAUGUUGGGAAUAACAGCUUGAGCGGCCCAAUUCCGGAAUAUCUUGGAAACUCAACACUUGAAGUCUUGGAUAUGAGAAUGAACAAGUUCAGCGGCAGCCUCCCUCAAACAUUUGGAAAAAGUUGUGUUUUGGUAAGUCUUAAACUUAAUGGAAAUCGGUUGGAAGGACCAUUGCCUCCAUCUUUGGUUAAUUGUCGACAUUUAGAAGUUAUAGAUGUUGGGAACAAUCAGAUUAAUGAGACCUUUCCCCACUGGUUAGACGUUCUUCCCGAAUUGCAUGUACUUACAUUGCGUUCUAAUAGAUUUCGCGGUCCCAUUGGUGAUACCGAAACAAGAGUUCCUUUCCCCAAGUUGCGAAUAAUUGAUCUCUCUUACAAUCGAUUCACCGGUAUUUUGCCAAUAUGGUAUCUGAAUGGUUUUAAAGCCAUGAUGCACGGGGAUGUCAAUAGUAUUGAAGUCAAUUAUAUGAGGUCGUUGAAUUAUUCUUACUAUGAAUCAAUAUCUCUGACUAUGAAAGGCAAUGACAUACAAAUGGAGAGGAUUUUAACCACUUUUGCAACUAUUGAUUUGUCGAGCAACAGAUUUCAAGGGGAAAUAUCAGAAGUGUUGGGAAAGCUUAAUUCACUCAAAAGUCUUAACAUUUCUCACAACAACCUGACAGGUGGUAUUCCAUCGUCGCUAAGAAAUCUAACAGAGCUUGAAUCUCUAGACCUCUCUUCAAACAAGCUUGCUGGACGUAUCCCAACACAACUGGCGAGUCUCAAUUAUCUUUCGGUGUUGAAUCUUUCGAACAACCAGCUCGAGGGACCCAUACCAGGAGGACCCCAAUUUAAUACAUUUGGAAUUGAUUCCUAUUCUGGUAACUUGGGGCUGUGUGGAUUCCCAUUAUCAAAAAGCUGCAGGAUUGAUGAGGCACCAGAACCAACAACACCAACAGGAUUUAUCGAAGGAGACGACGCUUCAAGCUGGUUUGAUUGGAAGCUCGCUAUGUUGGGUUACGCAUCUGGAGUGGUGAUCGGCUUGUCCAUCGGAUACAUGGCAUUUGUGACUGGAAGGCCACAAUGGUUUGUAAGAAUGAUCGAAAGGAAGCAAUCCAGGAAGCUGAGAAGGGUGAUCAGUCGAGGCAGAGCUGGUAGAAGAAGUUUGUUGGUGCAUCUCUAAAGGCCCAGGUGAGUAAUUAUUAGUUUGUCUUUUGGAAUUAUAAGCUGGUUUCUACUGUUCUUUAAGUAGAUAGCAUGCUGAUAUUAUCGUAAUCUAACAGUUGACUUGCAAAAAUCACAAUCCUAAUUAAUUUCAAGUUAUGCUUAUUAUCAACAUCUAUAGUGAGAAACAAAAUGAGGAUAAUGUAUAAGAAAGAAAAUUUUAACUGAAUUAUUGAUGCGAUUGUUUUUACUUUUAUUGCCAUUUCAUUAGAACAUGUAAUCACGGACGUAUGUUUUGAUGGUAAAAUGAUUUGAAGUAAUAUUGUUGCAGGAAAUUGUGCGGGGGUAACUUUGGUUUGUAAUCAUGUACUUCAAAUUUGGGCGUAGAACAUGUUAUUUCAAAGUUUGUGAGCAGACAACGUUGUUUGCCUUUGGCUCAGUGAUAUCAAUUUAAAAACUCAGAGCUUAAUUAAUAACUCUAUUAAGUGUGUGCAUUGCCCUUCUUGGAUUGACAGCACUCAUCCCACACAUCUUCCCAUGCAAGGAUUUCCACUCAUCAAUUAGCAAAAAUUGAAAAACAUUAUAAUUAAAUGUGUGUGUGUACGUAUAUGAUUCAGCAGAGUACUCCUAGUCUUAAGUUGAACAUCAAUAAUUAAUUGAAAAACAUUAUAAGUAGAUGAGAUUACAAAUAUGAUCAAUGUUUAAUAAAAUCCACCAUCAAAAAAUGAAAAAGUCCUAAUUAAUGACUUUCAUUUUUUGAUCCUUCCAAUGAGUGCACAUAUAGCCGUGGAAAAGAAGCUAAAGUAUAUAGUCUGCAAUUUUACAAAACUGGCGACAAAUCAAUGCACCAACUAGACUCCAAAACAAGAUGACGAGUUACAUUUAGUAACAAGACUUGGUGCUGUAAGUCUAAAAGUAUUAUAUUUAUUAUUACUAUUUUUUUUAAAAGUGUUGUAUUUAAUUAGAUUCCCCUGUUUUGGUGUGAGUUAAGGAGAUGGCUACGAUAAGUUUUUUAUUCUCGUAAGGGGGACUUGAAUAAAGUGCUCAUUAUUAAUGGCUUUGAGAAAGAAAGACUUGUUCUAUAUAUCCCUCUUAAUUUGAACAAUCUUUCUUCAGCAACUUCCAACCUUUUUUUAUGCUUGCCAUGGGUUUCGUAGCUGUGGAAAAGAAGUUAAAGUAGUUUGGAAUUUUAUUAAAUUGGCCACAAAUUCAUGCAACUUUCAACCUUUUUUAUGGAUUCCAUUGGUUUCAUAGCAUGGAAAAGACGACAGACAACUAACAUUUCUCUUAUCUAUAUAUCGUAAGUGUUAUAACAUAUAUAUGGAUACCGUUUAUUCCUGUAACUUGUAUAAAACAAUAAUAACAACAACUGGAAUCUAGGCGGCUGCCACAUCACCAUGUAUGACAGACAGCCACAUCACCAUAUAUCAUUUGACCUUUAAUUUGGACUGGUUAGUGGAAAUUAGAAAAACUCGAAUAAUCAAAGUCUACUAAAGACGACAAGAAAGGAAACGAGUAAAAUACAAACAUAGUCUAUCAAUGCUUAUGCUUAAUGUGACGUUGCGUCUUGGCUGUAUUAAUAGAAAUCCUCCUCAUCUGCCAAUAGGCUCGCACCCUGUUGACAGCACUCAUGCUCUCAAAUCUUGAGAGCAAUUAAUUCGUGGGACUCACUUUUUUAUAUCCAUAUAAAUAGAGCAUAUAUCCCUCAAAAAUUUAUGAAAUUAUCCAUCCGACUUUUAAAUUAUACCAUCUCAGAGCUGAUGAGUGACAAGAUGAACAACGUUACUCAUUGCCUUUGAAUAUCCAUCCGACUUUUAGGAAAUUAUACCAUUUCAAGACCCAAAAUUGCAUUUGAAUUUAUUUUAAAUUACAGCCCUGAGGAAACUUCUAAGAUUUGUACUUUUAUUUUCAUAACAAAAUCCUAAGCUACUUCCGUUUGUUGCGUUUUUAAUUAAUUUCAGUUUACACCUUAAUCUUCUCUUAAUUUCUUUUCUUUUUUUUCAAACUCGCCAAUUGCGUUGCAAUGAUGCAAUCAACCCAAUAAGCUUGUUUGACCAGAGGUCUAAAGAUUCAAGUAAUGUUAGAUUUUCCAACAAUAAUGGAGCGCCACCUAUCAAGUUGUUGUGAGACAUUUGAGUGAAUUAAACUUUCCCACUAUUUACGGAAUUUCCCCUUGAAAUUGAUUGCUCAACAAAUGAAUUGACAUGAAAAUGGUUAGAAUCAUCUGUAUUUGUUGGUCUAUUCCUUCCAUGAUCAAACUUAUCAAUUCAUAGUAGGAGUUGAAAUCUUUAAGCCUCAUAAAUUUUGCUUAAUGAUCAACACAAUUGUUAUCUCCAUAUAUCAGGCUUUAAAAUUAUCAAGAUACUGAAUUGGCAAAACACGAGUCAGUUGAUUGUGAGAGCGAUCAAUUAUUUACAGCUUUGAAAUAGGAACUCUUGUUUGGGUAUGACCAAUGGGACUGCAAAUCAGUUAGAUCGUAAUAUAAUUACUUGCAAUUUAGGAAGAAUUUCUAACCAAUGAGAAGAGGUAUCAUUAACAUGAUUGUUCACAAUAUCAAAAAUUUCCAAAUGCUGAUAGUUAACCAAAGAUUGAGGCAAUAGUCCUUCCAACUGAUUGCUAUUAAGGUUAAAACUUAGGAAGUCACAGCUUUUUGCAAACAUUUGAGAAAUGCUGCAAAGAGUUGUAAUUUGAGAAAUCUUUAACCUUAAUGACAAUCAAUUAGAAGGAUUAUUACCUCUCUCUUUGGUUAACUGUUGGCAUUUGGAAGUUUUUGAUAAUAAAAAUGAUCAUGUUAAUAAUAUCUUUCUUUAUUGGUUAGAAAUUAUUCAUAAAUUGUAAGUGCUUAUAUUACGAUCUAACCAAUUUCGUGAUCCCAUUGGUCAUAUUAAAACAAGAGUUCCCUUCCCCAAGUUGGGAAUAAUUGAUCUCUCUCAGAAUUAACUCACUGGUGUUUUGCCAACUCAGUAUCUUGAAAAUUCUAAAGUCAUAAUGCGUGGGGAUAACAAUAAUGUUGAUUUCAACUCUUACUAUGAAUUAAUAAUUUUGACCAUAGAAGGAACCGACCAACAAAUGGAGAGGAUUCUAAUCAUUUUCAUGCCAAUUGAUUUGUCGAACAAUCAAUUUCGAGGAAAAUUUUAGAAGUGGUGAGAUAAAUUAAUUCACUUAAAUGUCUUAACAUUUUUCACAACAAGCUGACAAGUUGCAUUCCAUCAUUGUUGGGAAAUCUGUCAGAGCUUGAACGUUUUGACUUCUUCUCAAACAAGCUUAUUGGGCUGAUUCCAAUGCGAUUGGCGAGUCUGAAAUUUCUUUUCUUGCUAAAUUUUUUGUACAGCCAGCUUGAGGGACAUAAACCUCAAGGACCUCAAUUAACUACAUUUUCAAACGAUUUUUAUACUGUAAACUUGAGGUUGUGUGGUUUUCAUUAUCACAAAGCUAACAUUGAGACAUUAGAAUUGUUACUAACAAGAUUGGAUAAAAGAGAUAGUAAUUCGAGCUGGUUUGAUUGGAAGUUCGCUAAGAUGACCAAUGAACCUGGUGGCCUAUGGCAUGACACAUGUACAACACAUGGCAUAAUACAGGCAGAGUUUCAGUAGGGCACCAGAACGACAUGUGUCCGUACAACACGGUAUGAGCACAUUUUGAUAGGGCAUGUGGCACGACAUUACAUGGCACGUACGCGGGUUGAGCUAGGCUGGAUUAAUAAUUUUAGGUACAUGUGCUUAACAAGCACAAUACGAUUAGAGAUAGUAUAAAACACAACACAUGAAAAGGUCCGCAAUAAGAACGUUUAUCUGUUGGGCUAGCAUACGGCUUGCAGACCAUCAAUAACAUGUGGGCCAAUACAUAUUUUAGUAUUUUUUUUUUAUGAAAGUAAAAUUGAAAUUUUAUGAUUUUACAAAUAAUUUAAAUUUGAAUCUUUUUAUCUAUUUCAUUAGCAUAGUUUUUUAAAAAUUCAUUUAAUUCUUAGUUUUAAAAAAAUACUCUAAUUGUUUUACAUUUAUAAUUUACUAAAUGAAUAGAUGAUCAUGAUUUUAAAAAAUAAAAUUAUAAAUAUCAUGAUUUCAUAAAUGUAUGCAGUAAUGUGAUUAUUGAUACGAAAAUAUAGAUCAGCAAUAAGAGUUGAAAAAAAAUUAUUUACUUAGGGAACAAGUUGAGAGAGUUUGAUAUACUCAUAAUUGCCAUUAUUGAGAGUGAAAAGCUUGAUAAUCGGAAUUUUUUAAAACAAUAAGCCAUCAGGAUUCGCUUGGGGGUGUUAUCGUUGUAGACCCUCCGAUACUUAAGUUAAAGAUUAAAAAUAACAUGAUAAUAAAUAAAUAAUAAGAGAAAAAAGAGAAUAAGAGAAUAAAUAUUGUCAUACAAUAUACAUAUUUCGCAUGUAUCUUUAUAUGUAUACACACACACAGAGACACACACCUUUGAGUGAUGAUCUCUUUAUAUAAGAGUGCUAAUAAUAAAAAGUGUUUAAAUUUUAAAUUAUAAAUACCAUGUAAAUAUUGAAUUAAAAAAUAAAAUUAUAAAUACCAUGUAAUAGCAUUGCAGUUUCGUUGGCCAUCGCCUUGAAUUUAAAUUUUAAAAGAACCAAAGAAACAUAGUAAAUGUAAAAAUAACAUAAAAUAACAAAGCUUGAAGAAGUUUACUUCUUUACUUCUUGCAUUUUCAAACUCUACUAUUUUAGGGCUCAAAAUCACUUUCUAUUCUGCAUUUUAUAAAACUAGAAAUUAAAAAUACAAAAUUCUAUGGGAAUGUCGUGUGAUGCGUGGACACUGGGUAGAUAUUCACUGUUUAUAUCUCAGUGCCUUUUUCCUCACCCCUUAUGAGUAAGCUUUGAAUUAGGUACCCAAUUUGUCCAAGAGUUAGCGAGCCAAUGAUCACUCAUUCACUCUAAUUAGAUAUUUAGUGGAUGAAAAUUGAUUGGACGUAAAAGAAAAUGCAGAUGAAUAAUCGAAAUAACUUUCAAGUCCAAAAAAGCUUUGACUUACUUGAUGAUGUCUUGUUAUGAUCACCAAAUGGCUCAGUCUGUGCCGCGUCAACAUGUGAAAACUCAUCCACGUCACCAGCCUCAGCGCUCUCGCCACGUCAUCACUCAAGCGGUUGUAACUGAUGAUAAUUUGGAUAAGAAAAACAGUUGAAUUGGGUCUCUUUUCAACGGGAGAGCACCAAAGACAGAGAAACCAAAAUGGCGCGAGCUUUGCUUCGUUUGAAUAGCACGGCCACGGUCAUAAUGGCCAGUGCUACAAGUGCUACUAAAGAGACAGUUCUUGACGGAGCUCACUUUCAAAUGAAGAACCGAAAUGCCCGCGUUUUGGUACUUGGAGGUACGGGUCGGGUCGGUGCAUCCACUGCAGUUGCUCUCUCGAAGCUCUACCCCGACCUUCAGAUUGUAGUUGGCUCUCGAAACAGGUUAAAUAAUUAAUACCCUUUUCUUUCUUCUGUUUGGUUACCAAAAAAAGCAAGAAAUAAAGGAGGGAAAAUUUUCAAGCUUUGUUAUUUUUUAAUUUUUUUUGCGUUUACUAUGUUUCUUUGGUUAUUUUAAAAUUUAAAAUUCAAGGUGAUGGCUACUGGUAAACUGCAAUGCUUUUACAUGGUUCUGAAAGCACAUUUCUAAACAGUCACUCAACGACAAGUGAUUAUCAUGUCCCACAGUUGUAGAUUAGGGCUCCAAUUGGUAGUGAUGUUGUGCGGUCGUGGCUUGUUAAGACACAUCUACUCUUAAAUGAGAGCUGCUGUGAAACGAGAGCUCUAGUUAUGAAAUAAAAGUUCAUAGUGUCUGGUAAAUGCUACCUUAAAAUAAUCAUUUUGACAAAAAUAGUAAAGCUAAUAUAGGUCAGGCAAUUGUGGGUAAAAUCGUCAUAAUUUUCAAACUGUGAUUGUGAGUGUUUACCAAAUACUUUAAAGUUGUGAUUAGAUGGUAAUAAAAAAAGAGAACCUAAACAGUCCAUAAUAAUAUUGCCAAUGAGGCAAAAAUUGUAAUUCUCUCUCUUUUUGGUUUUCCUAAACAUUUGAAAGGCUGUUUUUGUUGAUUGAUAUGCUUUGACUGUGGUAUGUUAAUAUUUAGAAUGCUGUCAAACAUGCUAGUUCUUGGAUGGAACUAUGGGGACAUGGAGUUGUAAAUUCAAGUAGUUAUGGCUGGAAUAUUUCCUAAUUUACAGUGUUGCUGAGAAAAUUUUGCAUACCGCCAGGGAAAAAGGUGCUGCAAUGGUCUCUACAUUGGGGAAGAAUUCUGAAUUUGCUGAAGUUAACAUUUACAAUGAAGGCUCAUUAUUAAUGGCUUUAAGAGGUGAGAUCAUUCCUCACUGACUAGAUGUAUCUUCUAUUGUUCCACAUCAAUAAUUCUUUUUCUUCUAGAGUCGAAGUAAAGGGAUUUUUUUUUUAUUUUGCAGCGGAUAUUUCGUUAUUGACAAUAUUUUGAUGAUAUUUUAGUCUGUAUGUUAAAUGCUGUAACUUUGCUUCGUCAGAUGUGGAUCUUGUGGUUCAUGCAGCAGGACCUUUUCAACAGGCACCGAAAUGCACUGUAUUGGAAGCUGCCAUAGAGACCAAGGUGAGGAAAGGUAAAUGUUGUGUUUGAAUAUCUCUUUUCCAAGUCCAGUUUUCUAUGUUUUGUAUAUGUGAUAAUUGAAGCAUGUAUACAACUUUACUAUGUACCCAAGAUGUAAACUUAUGUGUUCUUUUUUGUGUCUCCUAACAGACAGCAUACAUUGAUGUUUGUGAUGAUACCAUCUACUCCCAGCGUGCAAAAUCCUUCAAGGACAGAGCAAUAGCUGCAAACAUUCCAGCCAUAACCACUGGAGGAAUCUAUCCAGGAGUGAGCAAUGGUGCUUUUAUGAACAUGAACAUUCUUGUCCUGCUAUCCGCACUUCUAGCACUGUAAAUGAUACGAUUAAGUGAAGAAUAAGGAUAGAGUACUAAUUCUUUAAUUGAAACAUGUGCAGACUACCAAUUCUUGCUUUAGAGCUAAAACUUAAUUGUUGGUAAACUCAUCGACCUGGCUCCAAAGUUCUUAUAUAUGGGUGCACAUAUUGGUUUGACAGAUAGCUUUAGUGACUUUAUAUCAUUAACUUGAGUAUUGCAACUAAGAUAAAGCUCAAAGCUUUCUUUGACAAAGUCUUCAAAAUCUUGAGCUACUUGCACGACAUAAUGAUUUGAAGAAAUAAUAAUGUUGAUGUAGGAAAUGGUGUGGGCAACUUUUAUUUGUUUGUCUUGGGCCAGUAUGUUGGAUUUGGAAAUAUUGGAAGCUUGCAACGAUACAAGAAUCAUUCACCGCCUGCAGACAGCUAUGAUCCAUAUAUGCGAUUUUUGCCAUGUUUAUUUUUCAUAAGAAAUUCAAAUGCUACUUCAGAUUCUAUUAAUAAAUCCCGAAUUCUUGUACAUCCAAAUUUCAUUGUUUCAUGAUUUAUCAUAAUCCAAUAAAGUCUUGAAUGCUUGUACCAAUUCAAAGGUUAGUUGUGGAUCAACAAAAAGAAAUAAAAUGUAUGGGGCUGGACACAUGUCCUAUAUAUAUAUACCAGUUAAUUUUUUUGCCAAGAUAUCUCCACUGUUGGUUAUCUGCUUGAGUCUGAAGCAAUUGUCAACAUUAUAUUGUCUCCAAUAAAUACCUUGAUUGCAUAAAUCAAGCACUUGAUUACUAGCGUAAUCUUGGGGCUAGCUGUAUACUUAUUGUAAAAUACCCAAAUUAUUGGGAUUGAUUAUUCUACUUACCUUGUACAGAAUUAUUUUACAACUAUAAGAACUGGUAUGUCUCAACAAAUUGGGAGAACCUUUUUUCCAAAAAUUAUUUGUCUCUUUUGUUCUCUUUUAUUUGAUAUGGUAUCAGAGCUAUGCAUGUAUAAGAGAAAAUCUUGAAAUUUCUUAUAACAUCAUAGCAAGUUGUUGUGUUGUUCGCGGAUAGAGAUAUCAACUUUCAUUCGUGGAAAUUGAGAUCUUAUUGUUGCAAUCUUGAUUGAGAGUUUGAAUCGUGUCGGUGGGACAUCUUGGGUAAGUGAACAUUUUCUUUAUUCUAGUGUUUAAAAUGUCACAAUCAGAAACCUUGGGUAUCAAAUUAGAUGGGAAAAACUAUUUCUCUUGGGAAUUUCAAUUUCGCAUGUUUGUGAAAGGAAAAGACUUGUGGGGUUAUGUUGAUGGGUCUGAUUCUAGGCCACAAGAAGGAACUGAUAGUGUGAAAAUAAAGGAAUGGGAUUCAAAUAAUGCUAAAAUAAUUAGUUGGAUUUUGAGCUCUGUUGAUGCUCGUAUUGUUCUUAGUUUGAGGCCUUUUCGUUGUUCUAAGGAUAUGUGGAAUUAUUUAAAAAAAAUUUACAAUCAAGAAAACUCUGCUAGAUGUUUUCAACUUGAAUUAGAGCUGUCUGAAUAUAGUCAAGGGAACUUGUCAAUACAAGAUUAUUAUUCUGGUUUUUUAAAUCUAUGGGCUGAAUACCAAGAAUUGGUUUAUGCUACUGUUUCACAAGAGGGGCUGUCUACUUUGCAACAAGUGCAUGAAGUGUCUAAACGAGAUCAGUUUCUUAUGAAAUUAAGGCGUGAUUUUGAACCUAUUCGUGCCAAUCUAAUGUCCAGAAUUCCUUCUCCAUCUUUGGAUAUAUGUCUUGCUGAACUUCUUCGUGAAGAACAACGAUGUAUAACUCAAUCUGUUCUUGAAAUAAAGAAUAAUCAGGUAUCUAAUCCAAUGGAGGUGGCAUUUGCAUCGCAAGCACAUGCAAGGGACAUGAGCAAAGUGCAAUGCUAUAGUUGCAAAGAAUUUGGACAUAUAGCCAAACAAUGCAAAAAGAAAUUUUGUAACUAUUGCAAGAAACCUGGACAUGUGAUUGAUGAAUGUCGACGACGGCCUCAAAAUAAAAAUCCUCAAGCCUUGCAAACUACUAGCUCAAAUUCACAUUCAGAACCUAGUUCCACAAGCCUUACUCCUGAAGUGGUACAACAGAUGAUUUUUUCAGCAUUAUCAGCUCUUGGUGUUUCAGGUAAAAAUGCUUCUUCAUCUCAUUGUUACAUUGAUUCUGGUGCUUCCAACCAUAUGACACCUUCAUCCACAUCUCUUGUCAAUGUGAAACCAUCCUUGGGAAAUUUAGAAAUUCAAACAGCAAAUGGAGAAAGUGUUCCUGUUAAAUCAAUUGGUGAUAUUCCACAUACUUUGCCUUUAACUAAUGUAUUUCAUGUGCCUUGUUUAACUUCGAGUCUUAUUUCUGUUGGGCAAUUGGUUGAAGAUAAUUGUACAGUUUUUUUUUCAAAAUCUGGUUGUAUUGUACAGGAUCAAGAAACGGGGAAAGUGAUCGGGAAGGGACCUAAAUGUGGAAGACUGUUUACUCUAAGCUUGCCUGGCUAUCUCAAGAAUAAAGCCUUGUUCUCUUCACAUUAUUCUACUUUCAUUUCUCUUUUUCAAUUGUGGCAUAAACGUUUGGGUCAUCCAAAUACCAAAACUUUGUUAUCGUUGAUAAAGAGUCGAUUGAUUUCUAAUAAAGAUUUUGUUAAUUCUUCAGAUGUGGUAUUUAAUUGUGAUAGCUGUAAACUUGGUAAAAGUAAAACACUGCCUUUUCCAGUACAUCAAAAUAAUGUAAAAAGUUGUUUUGAUUUGAUUCAUACAGAUGUUUGGGGACCAUCUCCUUUUCCUUCUCAUUCUCGUAAGAAAUAUUUUGUUUCCUUCAUUGAUGACUAUAGCCGUCACACAUGGAUUUAUUUUUUACAUAAUAAAUCUGAUGUAUUUGAUGCCUUUAAACGUUUUCUUGCAUAUACAAAAAAUCAAUUUUCCACUUCUAUCAAAAUCUUAAGAUCUGAUUCUGGAGGGGAAUACAUGUCUAAUGAUUUUCAAAAUUUUCUUCAAAAUGAAGGAAUAAUAUCUCAAAAAACUUGCCCAGACACUCCUCAGCAAAAUGGAAUAGCUGAAAGAAAAAAUCGACAUCUUUUGGAUGUUACUCGUGCUUUGCUUCUUGAUGCAUCUGUACCUUCUCAUUUUUGGGUGGAAGCCUUGUCUACAGCUGCAAACUUGAUUAAUUGUAUGCCAUCAUUUAACCUUUAUAAUGAGUCUCCAUAUUUCCGUUUGCAUAAUAAACAUCCUGAUUAUACUCAAUUACGUGUUUUUGGCUGUCUUUGUUAUUGUCAUCUUCCUGCAUCAGAUAGAAAUAAAUUGACUGCACAAUCUGCAAGAUGUGCAUUUCUUGGGUACGCAUCUGAUCGCAAAGGUUUCCUUUGUUAUGAUCCCAAAGCUCGUCGUACUCGCAUAUCUCGGAAUGUUAUUUUUGUUGAAAAUAUUUAUUUUUUUCAAAAUACCCAUGUCACUACUUCUUUAUCUCCAUGUUCUAAUCUUCAUGACUUUGAUAGUGAUAUUCCUAACAAGGCAAGGUUUAAUCUUGGGAUAGAAAGUGAGCAACGAGACAAAACUAACAGUGAAGAAACAGAGGGUCCUCAGCGAGAAUCUUCCUUAUCUCUUGAUCCAAGCCCUGAAACACAUGAUCCAAGUCUUGAAACACAUGAGUCAAACACAAUAUCCGCUGCACCUCCAUUACGAAGAUCUAGUAGACAAAUCAAACCACCUGACCGCUUGUCUCUUGUGGCCACAUUGUCACCUAUGAGUAUUCCAAACUCUUAUUCCCAAGCCAAACAAUAUUCACAUUGGCAGGUUGCAAUGGAUGAAGAGCUAGAAGCGUUAAGAAGAAAUCAUACAUGGGAUAUUGUCUCUUGUCCCGCUGGUUGUACACCAAUCGGGUGCAAAUGGGUUUACUCUAUCAAACAAAAAGCUGAUGGUUCUUUGGAUCGUUAUAAAGCUCGUUUGGUUGCUCUUGGGAAUUGGCAAGAAUAUGGUAUAAACUAUCAUGAGACUUUUGCUCCAGUGGCCAAAAUGACCACAGUUCGCAUUUUGUUAGCGAUUGCGGGUUCACAAGCAUGGCCUCUUUUUCAAAUGGAUGUAAAAAAUGCAUUCUUGCAUGGAGAUCUACAAGAAGAAGUCUACAUGAAGCUUCCGCCUGGAGUAAGCUCUAAUUCAAAAGCUCAAGUAUGUCGUCUACGACGUUCUCUUUAUGGGCUUAAACAAGCACCACGUUCAUGGUUUACAAAGUUUGGUCAAAUACUGCAUCAGUUGGGUUUUCACCAGAGCUCUAAUGAUCCUUCUAUGUUUAUUCGACGUUCAGCUGCUAGUAUCAUUAUUCUUCUUGUUUAUGUAGAUGAUAUAAUUAUUACGGGGACUGACACAUUUGGUAUCCAGCAAUUUAAGGAGUCUUUGCAUUCAUAUUUUCAAAUGAAAGAUCUUGGCAAUCUCACUUAUUUUCUUGGCCUUGAGGUAUAUCAUUCAAGUGAAGGCAUCUACGUCCAUCAGCAUAAAUACACAAAAGAUUUAAUUGCUUUGGCAAGACUUGAAGAUUCAACGGUCAUAAACACUCCACUUGAGAUCAAUGUUAAAUAUUCGAAAGAUGAUGGUGACUUGCUUUCUGAUCCUACACUAUAUCGGAAACUAGUUGGGAGUUUGAUUUAUUUGACGAUUACCCGACCAGACAUCUCUUAUGCAGUGAACUUAAUGAGCCAAUUUAUGCAUGAGCCUCGACAUUUACAUCUUUCAGCAGUUAAAAGAAUAAUCCGUUAUUUGCUUGGGACUCCUAAUCGUGGACUAUUUUACAAGGCUAGCUCCCCUCUUGUUCUCAAAGCUUAUAGUGAUGCUGAUUGGGCUGGGUGUUCAGACUCUCGUCAAUCAACUACAGGUUGGUGUAUGUAUCUUGGUGACAGUCUUGUCUCUUGGAAAUGCAAAAAACAAGAGAGGGUGUCUAAAUCCUCUACUGAAGCCGAGUAUAGAGCUAUGUCGGGUGCUUGUUCUGAAAUCGUAUGGCUACGACGACUUGUAUCUGAAUUGGGUUUUCCUCAAGCGUCUCCAACGCUAUUGCAUGCUGAUAACAAGAGUGCCAUACAAAUUGCUGAAAAUCCUGUAUUUCAUGAAAGAACUAAACAUAUUGAGGUUGACUGCCACUAUAUUCGAGAUGCUUAUGCUGAUGGUACCAUUCAAUUACCUCAUGUGUCCACAACAUUUCAAAUUGCAGAUAUAUUUACAAAGUCCCUGACCAAGAUACGGCAUCAGUUCUUGGUUGGCAAAUUGAAGCUUGUUGAUUCACCAGCAUCAAUUUGAGGGAGGCUGUCAACAUUAUAUUGUCUCCAAUAAAUACCUUGAUUGCAUAAAUCAAGCACUUGAUUACUAGCGUAAUCUUGGGGCUAGCUGUAUACUUAUUGUAAAAUACCCAAAUUAUUGGGAUUGAUUAUUCUACUUACCUUGUACAGAAUUAUUUUACAACUAUAAGAACUGGUAUGUCUCAACAAAUUGGGAGAACCUUUUUUCCAAAAAUUAUUUGUCUCUUUUGUUCUCUUUUAUUUGAUAGCAAUAACAGAAAAAAAAUAGAAAAGAAAACAAUGACUAAUAUGACUAGUUAUUAUUAAAUUAGUCGUUAAAUAGUUAUUUAUUCUUAUUACGAUAAUUGAGGCAAUAAAUUGCACAUUCUUGUUUAAUUUUGAGUUCUUCAUUGAUAACGUUCAAAUUUUUAUUUUUUAUUUGAUUUUUUUUCCUAAUUUUAGGGGGGAGAAAAGGUAAAGAAUGAGAGAUUAUUUAAUAAAUUAAAUUUAGAGCACAAGCACAGAAGCAUUAAGCUCCUGCUAAACUGUUGUUCGACUUGCAAGUUUUUGGAUCAAAUAAUAAAGUUUGUGCCUUGAGAAGUUAGCUCAUGGCUGGAAUGUUAUUUCUAAUCUAGAGCUAGCGUCCUGAGACAACAGAAGUUAACAUUAACAAUAGAAGACUCAAUUGGUAGACAUUAUUCUUUUACACUAAAUACACAAUUGAGUUCACAGCUAUUCAAAAAAUGGGGCAGUUUUUUAUUUAAUUACAAAAUUACCCUUAUUGAAACCCAUAUAAGAGUAUUUAUAUUAAUUAGUUAUAUUGCUUCUUCAACUAUCAUCAAAUUCUUAUUCGAGUUCAUCAUUUAAGGAAUAAAUGUGUACUAAAUAAUCUCAAAUGAUGUACUAAGCAAAUAUUUUGAGAAAUAAGACUCAUUAUGGCUCCUUUCAUUAGUUGUAUCUUUAAUUUCUUAUUAAUGAAAUUCUCUCGCAUUGCCCAAAAAAAUAUUGUUAGCGUCACCAUUGAAAGGGGCCAAAUUAUGUAUUGUCUGACUAGUGAAACUCUUAUCAUAUCUGCUAAUACGUAUCAGGAAAAUUAUAUUGUUGCAGGAAAAUAGAUUUUCCAAAAAUCUGUCCUUUGGCCGACCGAUCCUAUAUGAUCCUUGUUCAAAUUGGCCCCGUGUGUGGCACGUCAACAUGUCAAAACUCGGCCACGUCAUCAACUUCGCAAAAUUCUCGCCACAUCAUCACUGAACUGGUUACGACGGAUGAUAAUUUGGACAAGCAAAACAGUUGAUAAUUACAAAGAGGGAACACUAAAGGCAGACCAAAGUGGCGCGAGCUUCGCUUAUUUGUACCAAGUAAAUGAAUUUUAGCUGAAAAAAAAGUAGGCCCAUAAUUAUAAAGCAAUGGCCCAGUACUAUACACGUCAUUACAAAAAAAAAAAAAAAAUCGAAACAGAGCUCAAUUUCAAACGAAGAUCCAAAACGCCAGCAUUUUGGUGCAGCCGUUGCUCAGAGUUUUUUCUUUUUAUAUGCCGAAGAAGUGCUUAUUUUCCAAAUAUAUAUCCCUUCUUUCCAUUUAUUCACUUAUAUACGACAAAUUCACCUGCAUAAAGAUUGAAAUACUCUCAUUUGUGAAUUACAAGUUGCAAAUUUUCUAUUUCAAGAUGAAGUUCAUUUACCUGUUCUUUACCAUCUUCAAAAUUUUCCUCUCAUUUUUAUUUCACUUUCUCAACUUCAAAAUUUACCUGCAUAAAGAUUUCUGAUUUCGAAUUAGAAUUGUGAUUCUUCACUUUCUGAUCCUUCCUAUGAGUUUCAUGGCUGCGGAAAAUGUAGAAGUACUAGUUUGAGAUUUUAUAAAUUGUUCAAAAAACCUCUGUCCAAUAGAUUAUAAGGAUAAGCAACAAGACUUGGUGCUCAAAAGUCUAAAAGUAUUAUAAAGACUUGGUAACUCUCUUAUUCACCUGCAUGGCAUAUCUGUUCUUGUGCCUUCAAUAAGAAAAAAGAUAGUAUGGAUUAUUUAACUCAGCCUUUUCAACUUUUGAUUUGCCUCCAGUUAUUGCUCUUAUAUCUUCAGUGGACUUGACUGAAAUGCUCAUUAAUGACUAGAAAAAAUUAUCUUAACUUAUAAGGUGGACUUGACUGAAAUGCUAAUUAAUGACUUUGAGAAAGAAAGACUUGUCAAGUUUUUCUAUACAUACCUCUUAAUUUGGACAUAUCUUAGGUCACUAACUUUCAACUUUUCUGAUCCUUCCCAUGAGUUUCACUAUCAUAGCCGUGGAAAAGAAGUUUGGAGUUUUACAAAAUUGGGAAAAAAUAUUAAUUAAGAUUACUGCUCCGCAAUUCAUGCAAUUGACCAGGAGAAAAGAUCACUUUAGAGCCUUAUAGGGGGAAGGGAUUGAAGGAAAGAUGCCUUUCUAUUUUAAGUUCAGUAGUAAGAAAGAGCAGGCAACUUGGCAUAAGUUUUCAGCUUAAGUUCAUACAGUUGACCAGUUACAUACAUAUAUGAUGACUUAAAAUAUCUGAGAGUUCGGGUUUCUUUUAGUAUAAACGCAUCUGCUUUUGGACAGGUUCGUGGAAAAACUAGAAUAUGUUUUUGAUUUGGUAAAUUAUGUAUUGUUUUGACCAGUUACAUACAUAUAUGAUAACUAAUGGAAGGUCUAACAACUUAGCUUAACAAACUGUAACAGAAUCAAAACAGGGGAGGGAAGAUGAAUUGUGUUUGUGUAAAUGACUGUUAGUCUAGUUAGCUGUUACGCCGGCAAAUAUGAUAACGAACAUCUCGCCGAACUUAAGUAAAUAUCUAAAUGGUUAUUAAUUGGAUACAGCUUCAGCUUUUGGACUGGUUUAUGGAAAUUGAAAAAAUUUGACAAGUGUUCCUCUUGAAGAAUCAAAGUCUACUUUAUACGUGAAGAAAGGGGAUCCCAGUAAAGAUAAUCCAUCAAUGUUCAGUUACAUUCGAGCGUGUUGACUACUUUUAGGAUGAAAGACUUCUAUUGUCCCAAGGAGUUUUACGAGGUCCAUACACAGAGCUGCAAACAGCGUAAGUUACACUCCCCUUAUGCAACAUUCAAAUGAAAUCCAUACAAUCAUGCAAGUCAAAUCAAUACAUACUGAAUAGCUUACCUCAGAAUCUUCACCUGCUGACGCGAGAAUGUUUAGAACCUUUGAGGAUGCAAGGCCAGUUACACUCCCCUUAUGAACAAAUUCAGUGGCAGCCUUCCUCAAACAUUUGCAAAAAGUUGUGUCUUGACAAGUCUUAACCUCAAUGGUAAUUGGUUGGAAGGACCGAUGCCUCCAUCUUUGGUUAACUAUCGGCAUUAUAAGCUGGUUUAUGUAUUGUUCAUGGAGUAGAUAACCAGCUGAUAUGUUUCAUAUUCUAACAGUUGAUAUACAAAAAUCCCAAUUCAAAUUAUGUUUAUAAUCAGCGUCUAUAGUCUAUAGAGAGAAAGAAAAUGAGGGUCAUACAUAAGAAAUCAAUGAUAGGACGUGUUCUCUUGAUCAGGAAUUUUAGACUUUUGGAAGCUAGUAGUGGAAGUCAAAUAAUCUCCAGGUACCAAAAUAUGUUUUGCUUUCAUUUCCAUUGCAUAAGAACAUGAUAUCACACACUUAUAUUUUGAUGGUUAACUUGAUCAAAAUUUUCAGGAAAAAGUUAUUUAAAAAUAAUUUUGAUGUAGGAAUGAUUUGGGGUGAAAUUCAUUUGGUGCCAUUUAGGCCACAUUUUUUCAAUUGGGCGUAUGGUAUAUACUUUUUCAAAGCUGGUGACAAGAUGAACAAUGUUGCCCAUUUGCCUUUGAGUCUGAUGCCCGUGGGGCUUUUACGAAAUUGUACAAUUUCAGGACUCAAAAUCCCAUUUGAAGUUAUUUCAAAUUCCAGCACUUCGGGAAAUUUCUAAGAUUUGUACUUUACUACUUUUAUUUUCAUAACCAAUUCUUAUUUUCUUAGCACUUUUUGGAGAACAUACAACUGAAAUCAUUUUUACCUAAUAACCUAGCAAAAAGCUACUACAUAUCACAAUGUUGACCUCUGGGCUAAUCAAGCAUUUGACUUUCCUAAUACAAUUUAUCACAAAACGAUUAUCCCUUUUCAUAUUUUAAGUUCAAUAAUAAGAAAGAGGAGGCACCUUCCAAAUGUAUGCACCUUUUUUAGUUUUAUCCCACAAAACUUUAUCACAAAACAAUGGCCUUUUCAUAUUUUGAGUUAUUGCUCAAUCCCUUUACAAAAAAUUAUGCACAUUUACUAGGGAUAGAAAAUUGAAAAGAAAAUUUUCGAUAAGAAAACAGCUGAAUAAUCGAAUUUCGAGUCUUUGGUGGACGUUAUUCUUUUAUACAAAAUAUAUCUUUGAGUUAAACAAUUAUUAAAACAUUGGGGCUAGUUUUUCAUUUAACUACAAAAUUACUUUUUUUGAAACCCAUAAAACCAUUUUUAAGUGGUAAAUUAGUUCUAUCACGUCUUCAACUAUUGCCAAAUUCUUAUUUGAGUUCACCAUUUUACUAGUAAAUGCGUUAUCUAAAUAAUUUCAAAUGAUGUAUUAAAUAAAUAUUUUGAGGAACAAGACUCAUUAUGUCUCCUCUCAUUAGUUGUAUUUUUAAUUUCUUUUUAAAAGAUUCUCUCAUAAUCAAUUAAAAAAAUUCAGCCACCCAAAAAAAAAAAAAGUAUUUAGCUUCGCGGCGGAAUGGGGGCUAAAUUGUGUAUUGUUUAACUGGUGAAACUCUUACCACAUCGACUAAUAUGCUGCUUUUGCUAGUGGCAGUGGUGGCAACAGAGCUUGCUCAUAUUGGUAGAAGUGAAAGCAAAGGAGAGACAGAGAGACUAAUUAAGGUUUAUUAUGGUGAAGUCCUGGGUCAGUCGCUUUUGCUGAAAUGAUUGCAAGUAAUCUCCCACUAUGACUGCCAUUUUUAUCUUAUUUAAGUUUCGGUGAAGCCCAUUCACAUAAAAUAAUUGGCAGGAAGUGUUAAGGAGAAAAGAUCGUCCUAAUUCAAUGUCUGGGGGUGCUGCAAUCACUUUUUAUUACUAAAUAUUUUUAAAUUGGAAUAAUGUAUUAACAGAAUAAAAAAUUUCAUAAUCUAACAAUUGAUUUACAACAACCCGAGUCCUGAUUAAAUUCAAAUAAUAAUUAUAAUCAACAUCUAUAGGAAAAUUGAAAACGAGAAUCAUAUGUAAAAAGAAAUCAUUUCGUAUGCCCAUUACCAUAUUAUAUUUGUACAUUAGAAAUUAAUAUAAAAUAAUAAUUUAAUAAUUAAUUUAAUAUAAUUAAUAAUAAAGCAGUAAUAAAUUUAAACAAUAUUAAUACAAAAUUAAUAAAGUAUAAUCUAACAUUAAAUACUAUACAAUAUUAUUAUAAUAAAAUACUAAUUCAAUACCACAUAAAGUAAUAUACUUGCAUUAUUUGGAACUGGCAUAAAGUAAAAUUAAUAAAGUAUAUCAACGCACAUGGAAAAUGCGACUUUUGAAGAAUGCAGUAAAUGGAAGGUUAAAUAGACUUCGUGCAUGCUGUAAAUUUAAAUGAAUCAUAAUUAAUUUCAAAAGGUAGUAAAUGGAAGGCCGAACAACUUUUUUAACAAACUGAAACAGAAUUAAAUCAAUUGUGCUUUGUGCAUAAUGUAUAUGACUGACUAACUAACUAACUACGAGUUUAGCUGCCUGCCACAUCAGCAUUAUAUAACACAUAACUAAUAUCAUUCCGCGUCGAGCAUGUCGUCAAGAUCCCCCUCUUGAAAGGAUUCCACUUACCACCUAAAUUCCAAAGCAAGAAGACUUGGUGCUGUAAGUCAAUAAAUAUUAUAUUAUUAAUUAAUUACACACCAUAUUCAACUUCUAUAAAUAGUCAUUAUAUCUCUCUCUCUUCUUGUGAUUUCAUCAUCCAGAAAAGAAAAAGAAAAAGAAAAAGAAAAUGGGUUAUAUCACUCAGCCUUAUCAACUUUUUAUUUGCCUCCAGUUAUUGCUCUUCUAUUCUCAGUGUUCAGCAAUACUUUGCUCUCACCACCAAAGUUCUGCUUUACUCCAAUUUAAGCACCUCUUUUCCUUUGAAAAACAUUCUUCAUGGUUUUGUGAAACAUUUCAACUACAAAUAUCUCGUCCAAAGAUGAUGUCUUGGAAAGAGGACUCUGAUUGCUGCUCCUGGGAUGGAGUAGCAUGUGAUUCGGCGACGGGUCACGUGAUUGGCCUCGACCUCAGUUGCAGUUGGCUUCACGGCAACAUCCCUUCCAACAGUAGCCUUUCCUUGCUUCCUCGCCUGCGAAAGCUCAACCUGGCUUUCAAUGAUUUCAAUGGCUCUAAGAUUUCUUCUGGUUUUACUAAUCAAUUUCCGAGCUUGACACUCCUUAACCUCUCUUGGAGCAAUUUCUCAGGGUCAAUUCCUACGUCACUAGGUAACAAUAUUACACAACUUGCUUAUUUGGAUCUCUCACAAAACAGUUUUACUGGUUAGAUUCCAUCAUCUUUUUCAAAUCUCCACCAGCUUCGUCAUUUAGAUCUUCGGUCCAGUAACAUUGUUGGUAAAAUUCCUGCAUCAUUAGGUAACAAUAUUACACAACUUGCUUAUUUGGAUCUCUCACAAAACAGUUUUACUGGUCAGAUUCCAUCAUCUUUUUCAAAUCUCCACCAGCUUCGUCAUUUAGAUCUUCGGUACAGUCACUUUGUUGGUGAAAUUCCGGAUAUUUUUACCAACCUAACCCAACUUUCUGAUUUAGACCUGUAUGGGAAUCAACUGACUGGCUCGAUUCCAAGUUCAAUAUUUGAACUUUUGAAUUUGACAUUUUUCUCUCUUUCUUUUAGCAAUUUCAGUGGCAGCGUUGAGCUUUACGAUUUUGCAAAGUUAAAAAAUCUUAACUAUCUUUUUCUUUCUAAUAUUAGUUUAUCAGUGAGCACCAAAUUAACAGUCAACUCGUCUUUCCCUAAUCUUCUGGGGUUGGGUUUACCGGCUUGCAAUAUAAGUGAGUUUCCAGGCAUCUUGAGAACUCAUCAUCAGUUAGAGUGGUUGGACCUUUCUAGAAACCAAAUCCGUGGUAGGAUUCCCAGUUGGAUGUGGGAGAUCGGAGUACAUACUUUGUAUGUCCUAGAUCUUUCACGAAACUUCCUGACAAGCAUAGACCAUCUUCCGUGGAAAAAUCUCCAAUAUCUUACCCUUGAUUCGAACCUACUUCAAGGAUCACUUCCAGAUCUACCACCUCACAUGGUACGGCUUUCAAUUUCCAACAAUAAUUUGACCGGAGAGAUUCCUUCAUCAUUUUGUAAUUUGAAUUCCAUUCAAUCUUUUGACGUAUCCAACAAUAGCUUGAGUGGACAAAUUCCACAGUGUCUUGGAAACUCUACACUUGACACUUUGGAUUUCCGAAUGAACAACUUCCAAGGUAGCAUCCCACAGGCAUAUGCAAAGGGCUGCAACUUGAUUAAUCUUCAACUGAAUGGCAAUCACUUGGAGGGACCAUUGCCAUCUUUGAUUAACUGUGUGAAUUUGCAAUUUCUUGAUGUUGAGAAUAACAACUUGAGCGGCCCAAUUCCAGAAUAUCUUGGAAACACAACACGUUUGUCAUUUCUUAAUGUUGGGAAUAAUAGCUUGAGCGGCCCAAUUCCGGAAUGUCUUGGAAACUCAACACUUGAAAUCUUAGAUAUGAGAAUGAACAAGUUCAACGGCAGCCUCCCUCAAACAUUUGCAAAAAGUUGUGUUUUGGCAAUUCUUAACCUUAAUGGCAAUCGGUUGGAAGGACCAUUGCCUACAUCUUUGGUUAAUUGUCGAUAUUUGGAAGUUAUAGAUGUUGGGAAUAACAACUUGAGCGGCUCAAUUCCAGAAUGUCUUGGAAACUCAACAGGUUUGUCAUUUCUUGAUGUUGGGAAUAACAACUUGAGCGGCCCAAUUCCAGAAUGUCUUGGAAACUCAACACGUUUGCGAUUUCUUGAUGUUGGGAAUAACAGCUUGAGCGGCCCAAUUCCAGAAUGUCUUGGAAACUCAACACUUGAAGUCUUGGAUAUGAGAAUGAACAAGUUCAACGGCAGCCUCCCUCAAACAUUUGGAAAAAGUUGUGUUUUGGAAAGUCUUAAACUUAAUGGAAAUCGGUUGGAAGGACCAUUGCCUCCAUCUUGGGUUAAUUGUCGACAUUUGGAAGUUAUAGAUGUUGGGAACAAUCAGAUUAAUGGUACCUUUCCCCACUGGUUAGACGUUCUUCCCAAAUUGCAAGUUCUUACAUUGCGUUCUAAUAGAUUUGGUGGUCCCAUUGGUGAUACCAAAACAAGAGUUCCCUUCCCCAAGUUGCGAAUAAUUGAUUGCUCUCACAAUCGACUCACCGGUGUUUUGCCACUACGGUAUUUGGAUAGUUUUAAAGCCAUGAGGCCUGGGAAAAACAAUAGUGUUGAAGUCAAUUAUAUGAGGUUGCCAGAUUCUUCUAAUUACUAUGAGUCAAUAUUUCUGACUAUGAAAGGCAUUGACUUACAAAUGGAGAGGAUUCUAACAACUUUUGCAACUAUUGAUUUGUCCAGCAAUAGAUUUCAAGGGAAAAUUCCAGAAGUAG
RNAcentral lists this long non-coding RNA (55608 nucleotides) under Citrus maxima (pomelo). Its description in RNAcentral is "long non-coding RNA (CMAX_LNC000512)". The record is from RNAcentral. Lineage: Eukaryota; Viridiplantae; Streptophyta; Magnoliopsida; Sapindales; Rutaceae.